GAAGCUGAGAAUUAGAUAGUGUCAGGUGGCCACCAACACAAUACAAGGAAAACUGAUCAUCUAUCAUGCUUGGUCUAUGUUAGGUUCAUUACCACACCCAGGAAUCCAAAUUGGUUUUACAACUGAGAUCCACAGAAUUACAAAAGCAAAGAGGUCCAAGCAUUGUGCUUACAAUUUUGUGUAGUUCAUGAAAUACUGGAACAGCACACGACAGCGCAGUCAAAGAACCAAUGGAAAUCACUAAGAUGGCUAAAAUGUAAUACCAAUACUUUACAGCUGAAUAAAUUCAGAACUACACCAUUCCAGGAAUGAGCGAUCUAACCCAUGAUUAACUAAAUCCAAGCAUCACCAUUGUAGUUUAUCACAUCCCUUUUUUGUCAUAAGCGUUUGUUGUUUAUAAGUUCUAAUUUUGGCUAUCCUCUUAUGUUUCCACUUUACAAAAACACAUUUGUUCCGCUUUGAUACUGCAGUAUUGCAAAUCAACGACCUUUCAGUAUUCCACAUUAGUUCAACCCAUAUCAUAUUUAGAACUGUAGUAAAGUGGUAUUUCACCUGUCAGAAGGGUAGAACCAUGUGGAACUGAAUCCCUGGUGCUCAGAACGAGUUCAUUUCAAGGCAAUAUGCCCUUCUCUUGAGAAGCACCUUUGCCGCAGUCCGAUAUGGCUCCUCAAAGGCCUCUGAAAUCCAGCAUGUACCAACAGGACCUGCAGCCCCAGCCCCUUGGCCCUCCCUCAAGGCAUCCUCGCUUGGUCUGAUCGCAACCAGUGUCGCGCCCUUCAGCAGCGUUCCCCCAGGCAGCUCAAUGAGCGGUGCAUAGUGCAGACGCAUACUGAGUGCCGGCAUGAGUGUGCGGUGCGAGCUCCCCGACGGAGAGACGGGCCGCACCCGCAGUUCCUGCAGCUGCCUCUUGUCCAUGGUGAGCACCCCUUGGCCGUCGGCAUCUGUCAGGUCCAAGCUCUCCAGCGUUUCGUGAUUACAGAUAAUCGGGUGCAGCAAGUAAUGCCUCGCCGACGCAGCAAUCAGGGAGCUGAUGGUCCAGACAACGCGAAGCUUGAGCCCUCCAUUUGUGUAGAGAGAAUCAGGCAGGCUCCCCGGCUCUUCAGUCUCCCUACUGGUAUCCAGAGCGGCGGCCGUGCUGUCGGCCGCAGCAGGUUCCGCCUGGGUGGUCGACCCUGUGGGCGGCUUGGACAAGACCGACGAGGCGCCGAGGAUGACGCAGCUGCCGAGGGUGGAGCCGAAGUCGGCCUUCCACUUAAGGAGCACGCCGUCGUCAAUGCCGAGCUCGCCCGUGGGCAGCUCGAUGUGGAGGCGCCGCAGCUCCCUGAAGGAGCGGAGCACCUCGGAGGGCGAGUGGUGGGAGACGUCCGCGACGGGCGCGGGCGGGGAAGCGGGCAGUGGUGGGUCGGAGCGCCGGGAGACGGCCGCCGCGGCGGGGGAGAGGAUCUGGCCGAGCGCGUGGAUGGGCCUGGCGAUGCCGCCGAGCAGGACGCGCGCCAUGUGCGCGAGCGCGCCGCCGCGCCCGCGCGCGGCCGUGGCCGGGGCCUGGUGCGGCGCGGAGCCCGGUGCGGCGGCGGCGGCGGAGGGCGUCGGGUCGUCGGGGAUGACGCAGUCGACGCGGACGAAGACGGAGUCGACGAGCGGCACGAGCGCGUGGAAGCGGCGCGAGACGAGGGCGCAGCGGCCCAGCGCCUUGACGUCGCCGAUGCGGUUGAGGACGUCGAGCAGCACCGCGUCGUGGAGCCGCUCGAACUGGUCCGCGGCCUCGGCCCCGCCGCCGCAUGUGCACCCCACCACCUCCUCCUCCUCCUCCUCCAGCUGCUGCUGCUGCCGCGGCGCCGCCUCCAGCUCCAUCCCACGCAGGCUGCAGGCAGGCACACAGAUCGGGAUCGGGGAGAGGCGCCGGCGCGAGGCGGGGCGGGGCGAGAGCCGGUCGGCCUAGCCGCGGGGCGACCCUUCCUGGUGGAUUUGAUUGGAUUCCCCUGCGGUGGAUCGCUCGCCGCGCUGGUAGUAGGAGUCCCUAGUCGGCACGCACGGCACAAGCUCGCUCACGGCUGGACUACGACUCCUGCGCUGCGAGAGUGAGAGCGAGAGGGGGUCACGGGGAACGGGGAUCGGCGGCAGGCUCGGAUGAGGUGUCAGCCGCGGACUGGGGAGUUAAGCUGGUGCCGAGCCCGUGCCGUAGUGGGGGGGACGUGGGGGUCCGGGUCAGGAUCAGGCAGGGUCACGGCGUGGUGGUGUGGUUUCUGGUGUGGUGCAGGCUGCUGCGCUGGGACAGGCACGCCCAAAGGCCCAAGCAACGGGGACGUCUCAGCGCUCCGCGGAUUCCAGUGGAAAGAUCUUUGCUGCCGGCAAGUGGCUGAAGCCCCGAUGAACCUGAACGAGGCCGGUCGCUCUCCCGUCCCGCGGCAAAAAAUUCCGACGGCAACCACCGCCAGCCACCGGAAUACCAGAUGUGGGAUAGAUAGGAUACGUUGGCUGGCACUGGCAGCGGACCUGGGCUCCAGCACAAACAUCGCGUUCGCAUCCGCGUCGGCGUCGCUGUGGGUGGCGUGGGAGCGAGGGAAACCUGAUAGGGAUCGGUCGCUAGUGUCGCCCAGGGUCAGGGCCGCAGGGGGGGGGCAGUGCGCGCGCGCCUCGCGCUGUGCGUGCCGAGGACAGCGGCCGGAGGCGCCUGUCCCCCCGCACGAGCCGUCCGAUCGAUCCUCGUUCCCCAACGCUCAGGUGCUUUGACUUUGCAGGACACUAGUGGGAGGGCGAGGGAUCUUAAGAAAGAGCUGAUUAAACAAACCCAGUUUGUUGUCAGAGCACCAACUGGUUGGAUGAGAUGAGAUUUGUGAUCGCAGAUGAGAUGCAAAGCCCCAAGUAGGAGGAGUAUUCAACUCUGCUCAAGUGUCAGCACUCAGCACAAGGAAUCUUGGCGCGGGUUAAACUAGUUCGCCGCCUGCAAAACCGACGCAGCAGCGCAGCCCAAAACGAAACGACGUGGAAGGAAGAACGGCACGACUUCACGAGGACCUGCCAGUUGGGAACUGCUCGGUGCUCCGCGUGUGCAAGCGACGCACAGCUGCAGACGACCGAGGGCAAAGACAAGACAAACAGGGCGUCAUUUGGCUGAGGGGUGGUGUGCCGUGUGGAGAUGGGGAAUUGGGAUUUGUGGAAAUGAUUGGUCUACGCUUUUCCAGGGGGGGAGUGUCAUCAUCGGCGUUGCAAACUUCGGUCUCAAGCGACUGCUGCUCAAGGGCAAAAGUGGCCUCCUUUUCCGCAGGUAACCUAGUGCUAGUGCACCGCCAUGAUCAUGCGGCAUCUCUCGAGUGGAUUAGAUUGCUUGCGUUCCCGCUGUCUGAUGCAAUCAUCGGCGAUAAACAAAUAGAAACCCACACCGCGCCAAGCCGAUGUUUCCGCAGUUAUCCUUGCUCGCAGUUCCUAGAUUCUUAGGCCUUGUUUAGAUGCAAAAAGUUUUUGGAUUUGGACACUGUAGCAUUUUCGUUUUUAUUUGACAAACAUUGUCUAAUUAUGGAGUAACUAGACUUAAAAGAUUCAUCUCAUGAUUUACAGUUAAACUGUGUAAUUAGUUAUUAUUUUUAUCUAUAUUUAAUACUUCAUACAUGUGCCGCAAGAUUCGAUGUGACGGGAAAUCUUAUAAAGUUUUGGGUUUUUGGGUGUAUCUAAACAAGGCCGUAGUUGGGCCAACAUGCUUGGCGGCCGGCCACCUUUUUGGCCUUGCUCGCUCUAAAGAAACUAUUGGGCCUGACUGUUCAGUUGAGUCACCUGGAUCCGCAGUUGUUGUAAAAAAAAAGGAAAAGGAUCCGCAGUUGAGUCAACCAAUGUAACAGUCUAACAGAAUCAUCAUCACAUAAAUAUCGUUAGGAGAGCUCUUACACAUCUGUUGAACUCCACCUAUUUUGGUAUGAUACUUUUCUCACAAAUCAGUACCGUUGUCAUAUUUACAUCACCACUGCGUUGCCAGUUUGCCCUAAACCGUGGUCAUUUACCUGUCUCCACUGAAAUCUAAACAGGAACUAAGCAGGUACCAGAUCAUCAUGACAGCCUGUUCGCAUGAACUUAUUAGCCCGGUUUAUCAACCACGAUAUAAUAUUUUUCUCUCAUAACAAAACAACAGCAAUCCUGCUUAUCAACCAAAAAACUAUCAGUUGAAUAGCUCCACAAAGUGCAUUCUAGCUAAUCAUGCCGAAAGGUGAGGCAAAUCAAAUGCUUCAGAGAGCCAAGGCUCACAGAAAUUUUCUACAUUGCAAAAGAAAAAUAGCCAUCGAAUGAGAAGGACCUAAAAUCCAUUUAUGCACUUAUGUCCUGUCAGGGCCGUCUCUAUAAUUUUAAGGGCCCAUGUGCAAGCAAAAAGAUAAGGGUCCAUCAAAUAUUUUUUUUAUAUGUCAAAUAUAUAAAAUAUAUAGUACAACUAAAAAGAAUUAAUUUGCACCAUAUGUUUAGUUUAUAAAAGGUAAUUAUAGUACAAUAAAUAAAUAAGUAGAAUAUAAUUAGAAAUUUAGAACCCUAUCACUGAAUACUAAUAACAAAAUUGGUAAAGUCUCGAUCAGCUAUGCCCUUGUUCUUCCUGCUCCAAUGUCUAGUAGUGACAUCGUGUGGGGACGUGUGGUGUUAGCAUGUCAUGGAGCCACAUCGUUGCAUUGGACGAUUGGGCAAUAGGACGAGAAGACGAUAAAGAGGAACAUUGAUCUGCUCAACUAAUCGAUCAAGCGAGAAUAUGAAGCAACACCAGCAAUAGGUGGAUGUGGAUGACGUGUUGAUUAAUGGAUUUUUUUAGAUUAAUUGAUGGAUUUUUAUAGUGUGUGUAUAAGCCUCCAAAAAAUAGAUAAAUCUAUAUACUAAGUAUUAUAUAUAUUAUAUAUAUACUUAUAGACCUCUUAGCGCGGUGGGCCCCCGGCCGUCGCACCGGCUGCCCACCCCCUAGAGACGGCCUUGUGUCAUGUUUGGAAUGGGCGAUGAAAACAUAGGAAUAAGAAAGAAACAUAAACAGAGAAGAUAAAGAAAACAUAGGAAUAAGAAAGAAACAUAGGAGCAACACAGGAAAUUGAAAAAUGGAGACAUUUUACACAAAUAGUGUUUGGAAUGUACAAAUGGAAAAUAUAUAUUAAAUUGAAAUAAAUAAUCAAAGGAUCACUUGACAUUGUCCCUUAAAAGUAAAUCUUGAAAUGAUACAAACUAUUAAGACUUAACGAUUAAAAUAAAUAUGAAGGCCUAGGGGAAUUUUGGGUCGAGUAGUUCAGAUAAUUGGACUUGAUAUUUUCUUCAGUCGUCUAACUGUCGGUGCACGUUGCACCCCUAGGACAGAGGUUGCCAGACCCAACUAUUGAGAGCCCAACAUGGUGGCAGCACCACAGCAGUGAGAACAAUGUGCGGCUUUGAGUGAGGGAAAUUUGUUGUGGCAAGAGGUUGAGUACGGGUGGCUUGGUGGCAAGCAGGGUUCAAAUCGUGAGGGUGUGCGGUGUUGCUUCUUGCUUCAGUUAGGAUGCAGCAACUUAAGAGAGUGAAUGCUAGGUUUUGAAGGUCAGGGGUGAUGGCCGAGCUAAGCUGUUAACUUGGUGGACCUAGCAUGUAAUGCACUGGGCUCUCCUUUGCAGUUUGGGUAAUUCAGGUAUCGAGAGAAUAUUACUCAAUUCUCUCAAAAAAAAGAGAACAUUACUCAAACUUUUCAAACUAAACUUAGGUAUUUAGAAUUACUAUCCGAAUUAUGUGAUAGUGUAUUUUAGGUCUAUUCUGGGUUCAUGGAUCCGAUAUCGGGUAUUUUGCCCAGCCUUGUGAAGGCCCUAGUACUUUGUAUACCAUCUUGCAAGUGAGACGAGAGACCGCUUCGUUGAAAUUUGGCUGAUACUGAUUUAUUGUGAGAGAGAAACAUUGUUCUUUCACUUAAAAGUACUACCGAGAUAGUUCAACCGAACUACUGAAUGUCAUUGUCCUUAUCUAUCCCUUUCAUGAGGUUGCAUUCCGUCGUCCAUGCCUCUCAACAGCAACAAAUCAAAAACCCAAUCUCACCAUCGUCCAACUCGUUAAUGGUGUAGGCGGCAACAAAUUGAAGGGAAGGGUAGGGGCGAAGGGCGCCAAGCCGGCCCUUUGAUUAUUAGUAAUCAGAUAUAUAAUCAAAUUUUCAUCCAAACAAGAUUAAUUAUACAACUUGUCUAUCUUUAAUCAACCAUAAUCCCAUAAUAUAGGUGAGAAUAGAUUAUGUGGAAUUACGGGUGCUGAAAGAACAAUUUGUCCUAGCUAGUUGUCUUACCAAAUUGUAAAGGAUAAGAUAGUAAUAUCUCACUUUAAUCAACCAUAAUCAAUCACUAUAAUCCAUUGACCCAAACAUUUUGAUUAUUAUAAUCGACAAUCCUAAUUAUCAAAAUCCUAUACAUAAUCCGGAUUAUAAUAAUUGAGUCAUGAUCUAAACAGGCCCUUAGCUUUUUUUGUUUAUCUAUAAUUCGAGUCCAAAAUCAGCUGGAUUUGCUUUAAAGUGUGGCAUGAUUGUUAAUCUUUUCUUUACUUUAUUGAUUCGGAGAUUGAAGUUUGAAUUAGUUGUCUUUCUUCUUUUUUUUCGUGUUCCUAUGGGUUGAAUCGUUAUGGCUAUAUGUUCUUUUUAGAACUGUUGCUCUCCGGUGAGAAAGAAGAACAACAGAGCUCCGAUUAGUGGGCUCACUUUUUGAUUCCUGAGAGUACAGUUUUUUAUACCAAACAUGAAAACUUUCUCGCUCAUUCAUUCCAAACAGUGAUAUCAGCAAAAUGGACGAAUAAGGGUCCUCUGAAAUUUCUAUGAAAAAACUCUGUUCCAAACACAAGAAGAGGCAACAGAGCUCCGAUUAGUGGGCUUUUUUCUUUUUUUUGAUUCCUAUAAGAGUAUUUUCUCCGUUCUUAAAAGAGUGUCGUUUUAGGUUUUCGUGCAAAAGUUUAACUCAAUUUUUAAAAAAUAAGUGCAAUAUCUUUAUCUCUAAAUAAAUUUAUUAAAAAACUAAAUUUAAAGAUUUUUUUAAUAACACUAAUUAUGUACUAUAAAUAUUAAUAUUUUCUUACUAUAUAUUUAGUUAAAGUUAUUUCUUGGGAAGUACAAACGACAUUUAUUCUGCGACAGAGGGAGUAUAUAUUUUUUUUUUGAAGCAACAGAGAAUUUCUCGCCCAUUCCUUGAUUCCAAACUGGCAUUGACGUCAGCAAAAUUAAAUGGACAAACAAGGGUCAUCUGAAAUUCGUAUGGAAAACCUCUGUUCCAAGCGCAAGAAGAGCCAGUCGGAUCUCUGGUAGUACUGGUGUCAUGCCAACCGCCAACAGGAGGGCAUCCAUUAUUGAUUCAUCGUUUCCUACUCGGCUACUUGGUAUCGCCGAUAGUCGGACAUGUUUAAAUUUCCCGUUGCAGGGUCGGAGUCCGACUUGAGAAGGCUGGAGCUGGAUCCACAACGCGUUUUGGGUUCUCGCCUUCCCUUCCCGCCGUUUUAUAAAUGCCCCCGAUCCCCUCUCCUCUAGCGCCCCACACCGAUCCUUUCUCGUUUCUCCUCUCUGCCGCCACACCACGCCAUCGCCACUCCAAUAAUCCCCAGCGAGCCGCCGCCGCCGCCCGCCGGCAGGAGCAAUAGAGCCACCGCCGACCAUGGCCACGGAGCACGGCUUUCCUCCUGGCUACCGUUUCGUGCCCACUGACGAGGAGGUGGUCGAGUUCUGCCUGCUCCCUCGCAUCCAGGACCAGCCCCUCCUGCCCAACGACAUCAUCGAGGACGAUCCGCUGAGCGCGCCGCCGUGGGCUCUCCUCGAGAAGCACGGGCGGAGGCACCAGGCCUUCUUCUUCGCGGCGUGUCAGGCCAUGAACGCCAAGGGCAACCGCCAGAAGCGGACCUGCGCAGGACAAGGGACCUGGCAAGGGCAGGGCAAGGGCAAGAGGAAGCGCCAGCAGGAAGAAGGCGAGGAGGAGGUGAAGAAGAAGCUGCGCGUGCCCGUGCGCGGCAGCGCCGAGACGAUGGAGAUCGAGUGGGACAAGUACGCGCUCAACUUCCACGAGCACGGUGUCAAGGGCAGCACGGGGUGGGUCAUGCACGAGUACUCCAUCACCGCCCCGCCCGAGCUCGCGCGGUCGCCGGUGAGGGUGUACUGCAUCCGCUUCAGCGGCCACGGCAGGAACGCCAAGAAGAACAGCAGGGAUGCGCAGCAUAGGGGCGACGACGAGUUCGAGGACGAGGAGGGGGGGCAAGUGGAUGAUGAUGCAGAUGCAGCAGGAGCAAUGGCCACCGCUACCUGGAGUGCCGCGGAGGAAGACGCUGCCCUGCUCGUCCAAGAGUACCUCACUGCUUUCCCUGUGGCGGCGGUGGAUGUUGUCAGCGCCAAUCCUGCCGAUGCGGCGGACGCAGGAGCAGGCUAUGAUCAGGACUUGCCCGAGUUGGUGGAUGACGACAGUUUCGACUUCAUGAACACUUUGCCUGACCUGGUGCCUCGUUUCGACUUCUCCCAAUGAGCCGAUGGUGCCGGACGACGCAUGAUCAAACACGCCGUAGAUUGAUUUAUUAGCUCCUUAACUUGUUGUAGAUUGACUGCUUGAGAUGGCGAAUUUAGUUAUUUAACUUGCUGUAGCUCAAGAUGGCGAAUUGCUGUAUGGGCUGAUUUUGUGCGUUGGUGGAUUCUUCGAUUCCUAGGUACUAGGAACUGCCUUUUUUAUGAAACAGAGUUUCUACCGCGUUGUUAGUAGUAAUAGUUUGUAACCUUCUUGACUUGUCUUAACGACGAAAUGAUGUCUUAUUUGUGAUCACUGGCGAGUGUGGACGAUUCAAAAUCUGCUUAUGUCUCUGCUAUUGUUUUGUUUUAGUACUUCCAGUUCUACUUGUUGCAGAAUUGAGAAUUAUGAAAGAACCAUGAUAUAUGUUGCAGAAUUGAGAACUACUAUGAAGUAGUAAACUCCUCGGUUGCAUUACUAAUCGGUUGGCCUCCGAUGUUUAAGCAUAACGGAUUAUCGGGCUUCAGCGUUUUUUUUUAAUUUAGUAAAUCGGGCUUCAGCGUUGUUCACUCCCAAUUGCCACAGUUGACUAAACAUCCAGCAGCGCAGACCAUUCCAAAGUAAAACCAGCUUGAUGACUGAGCACUCAAAGAGGCCAGGCUUCUUCCAGACCAGGUCUGAACCAAAGUAAAAAAAAAAAUGAUCUAUCAAUCAGCGACUCCUGGCCCAAAGGGACCAGGCUUUUCCCAGGCCGAGCCGUAUAUUCAUAUAUGUCUGCAAUUGAAUCGAAUCACAGGCAGACAUUCAACGUUGCAAGCACCCAAGCAUGCCGCACAUGAUUUGCUUUGAAAAAUGCCUAAAAUCGAUGCUCCAGCAAAACUACAGUUGACAAUAACAAAAUAAGUUGCUUUGCAAUUAGUCCAUUUACACAAGAGAAGCUUUGCCAAAAAGCUCCCGGGAUUUAGAGUUCAAAAUGACCAAAGUAGCGUGCUUGUUUUCUCUUUAUAAAUCUUGAUAUGGUAGAAACGUCGCCUUGAAUGAUUAUCUGGCCAUCUUCCAUAUAAAUGGCGCCAUCUGCAUAUUUCAGCUCCUCCAACCGAUGAGUCACCCAUAACGCGGCGACCUCCCCAUCAGCAGCCACAGAGUUCCUCACUGCCUUUAUCACGCCUAUCUGCAGUUGCAGCAAACGGAGGUUAGAGUGCAGAACUUCACAACCAGCAAAAUGACUACAAAAGUUUUACCAGAGCAUUUGCCAUAAAACGUUACAGUGCACGUUAGACAAAACUAAUAUAAGACGGCAUGAUGAUAAGCUCCAACGAAUGGGAAAGAAAUUCACAGGAUCAUACAAAUCAGAAUAUGAAGGAGAUUCGUACCUGGUCAUGUUCAUCUAAGAAUGUGGUCAGUUCAUCCAGCAAUAAUACUUUGGAUGCUUCAGCUAACGCCCCAGCAAUUGCAACUCUCUGUUUCUGCCCACCACUCAGAGUUUGGAUUGGCCUCUGUUUGAAUGCAGGUUUAUGAACAUUACGAACACAUUAGAUUAUGCUCCAAAAGCUGGAUUUUAGCUGCCUACCUGAGAGUAGCUCAACAUCCCAACAGCAUCCAAAGAUUUUGAUACCCUUAACCUGACCUCAUCUAAUGGAAGUUUGAGCUUACCAAGACCAAAUGCUACAUCAGAUUCCACUGUAGGCAUCACAACCUGCAUCCAAAGGACAGAACUGAGAAAACCACAGUUCUUCCAUAUAAAGACAUGGUAUAAAGACUCGAGCGCAUGGACAGUCUGGGGCUGAAGUUCUUGGCUUGACGACCAGGUGGAAGCUUUCGUAAUGCUAGAACUUGUUUGAUUCCAAUGUGUGCAUUUGAGUUCUGAACAUAAAGUACGAUUUGCCAAAAAAAAAAGAGGAAGAUCACAAGUUCAUGGUUUAGUAGGCAGUGAGUUAGAUUUGAUUCAACAUGACUCCUGUAAAUGUGAUGUCCCCAACAAAGAAGGCUACUAAGGAACACAGAACUAGAUGCACAAGUGAUGGCACCUUUUCUCUAGCAUGGAACAAGAAUAUUAUAAUCAGAUUGCAUGACUCAUCUUAAAACUAAGCUCCGAGUGCAUUUAAGUGGAUAUUGUGCGAAUUUGGAGUUGGAGCUCUAGCAGGAUAUGCAUGGAAAAGCUUUUGUGACAAAUUGUCCGUGUCUAUGACAUAGUUCACAUAUUGAGCCACAUGAUUAAAUGUAUAAUUACAAGCAUCAAUUUAUAUGGUUUAACCAAAGACAUCAUUUACUCGUCCAAUACAAAGUAAAAUAGCCAAUAGCUGCUCAGAGUUUAACACAUAAGCUGAUACAGGUUACACUGAAACUGAAUUCAAUGGAUGCUAUGUGAGUUAAUUGUGUUGGCAUACUACAGAUUCCACUUAAAAUGUAUUGUGAGACCUGACAAUAAACCAGUUAGAAAACUAUUAAAGAAAGAGAAGUUUUACCACCUGGUGAUCAGGAUUUUGGAAGACAUAGCUGCAUGGUCUGUUUACAUACACUGUACCAGCCGAAGGAUUCAGAAAACCUGCUAAAACCUAGAAAAACUUGGUGUUGGCAUUUAUUCACAGUGACAGUGAUAAUAAAUGAAUAAAUAAAUUCUCAAAGUUCUGGUACCUAGUGAUCAGAAAUGAGCACAAUGCAUGUAGCUAACAACUUUACAAGGACUUUACAAGGGCAAGUAGAUAAAACCAACUCAUGCUUGUUUCUUCCACAUGAAUGUAACAGUAACUACAUUAUUAUUUAUAAUUAAGUAACAUAAACUAUAUUCUGGCCCAAAAAACAAUGGGUGUAAAUUAACUCUGACUACUGUCAUUUGCUGCUCCAUUGCUCAACCCCUUUGUGAUGAUGCACCAGACCACAAAAGAGAUACAGAAUUGACAUUCGUGACAUCCGUACAAAGGUUUUCUUAGAUUUUCUUAUUGGCUUUACUGUGGACUUUCUAUUGAUCCCUGAUAGAAACUGGAAAUUUUGCCGGGCAAUAUGGUUAUGGUUGCAUCAGUACACUAAAUGGCAUGCACAUUCACAAGUCACCGAAACCUUUCCUGAGAAUUUUGGGUCCCCCAAAGGUACAAAGGCUUGCUUGAACAUUUUCAUGAAGUUUAACUAGCCCUUCCUCCCCACAAAUCUGUGCUCGCAGCUCACAAGGUUCAGAGGUUGAGGGGAUGGACCUCGAUUCCAUCCAGAUUGUAUUCUAUUUUCACUUCUAAUCGAAAAACUGCCGGACAUAAUUGAUAGUAUCUAAUUCAUAUCUACCAAGUAAAUUGGGCACUACACACAGCAGGAAACUAUUUUCUUCGUUUCAAAUUGGAGGCAACAGGGGCAUUCCACGUUUGACUGUUGAAUGCAGAUAACAAAGGUGCUAAAUCAAUCGCUUAAGGCAAUCACCAAUCUGAGAAAUUCAGUACUGAUUUCAAUUCUCAGGUCUGCACGAAUAAAGUGGGAGCGAAAGACACGAAAUGAUGUCUCCUAGUUUAGAGGAGGAACCUUCAGCAGGGUGGACUUGCCGCAGCCGUUGGGCCCGAGGAGCAUCCAGAGCUGCCCGGGUGGGACAAGGAGGGAGCAUCCCUUAAGCACCGGCAACACCCUGCCCCGCCGCGUGGUCACCGAGAGCCCGACGUCGCGGCCCUCGAUGGCGGAAGCGGCUGGAGGAGAGAAGGUCGAGGCGCACAUCGCUAAGCUUCGACGAGGGGGAGCGUCCAGGGUGUGAUGAACGGUGGUGGAGGAGGAGGACACGGAGGGACAGCACCGGAGGGGGCCGACGCCGCCGGCGAGGCCGUGCGCCAUCCCUCUCGGCGAGCUAAGAAGUAAGAAGAGAGGCAGGACUGAGGAGUUUCUGGGCCGAUGCUCUACAUGGAUAGGUGUCGGCCAUGCUUAUAACUAAAUGGGCCCGAUCUGUCAUGGCUUUCGUGCACGGAUGGGCCGCGCCAAUGUGUAUCACUUGCAUCAGUUGUCGUUUCUCCAAAAAAAAAAAAAGCAUCAGUUGUCCUCAAAAAAUAAGUUGCAUGUACUACUUCACUUCUGCAUGAACUCCACGGUGGUAGCCCGUAGGAAUACUUCACGUCAAUUUAUCAUCGUAAUUAACAGUAAUACUCUAUAUGUAUUGCCUUCUACAGUUGAUCGUCAGUUUCAUGUUUUGAGGGAAAAGAAGUUGAUUGCCAGUUUAAAAUCGGCGAAUAGGGUUUCACCAUGACUAGAUAGAUGAGUAUAAAAUAAGAUAAGAUAAAGAUAUGAUAGAGAAGAGAUAGAGAGAAGCUCAUUGAAGGCAACCUUAUAAUAGGAGCGGUCGAGCUGAAAAGAAAGAAGAGAAGGGAAGGUGAUGACAACGAUAAUAACCUUAAGCCAAUGAAUGGUUGAGUAGAGUUUGUGCGGAUGGAAUAGGAGGGGCAUAUAGCAAAGUUUUUCUCAUGCAUAUCUGAUGCCCUCUCGAAAGGCAACCAAGAUAUUUUCUUGUUUGAUUGAGAUACCACCUAAUCAAUUGCUCCUGAUAAAUUGCAGAACACUUGUGAUCCUACCUAAUCUGCGAGUCUUCAUUCUGGACUUCUUGAGCGUAGUAUAGGAUUAAGCCAUGGUGUGCACAAAAACAUGCAAGGAAGCGACUAAAAACGGAUUACAUAAAUUAAAGACGACCUCCAUUUACUAUCAUUUUUAUUUUAUGUGCAUGCUUUUUUUUAGAACUAGGAAGAUUUUCCGCGGGUACGAAGAAGAAAUAUAAAUAGGUUGGAAUGUGUAUUGCUUAGUUGGAAAGAUUGCAUGUUUAGAGAAAUAUGUCACUUGCUGACGUAGACAUUACAAUUGCAUGGGCUAGUGAAUUUUAAUUAUGUGUGAUAGUGGAUUGCUAUGUAGUACAGUUUUGCUUUAUAAGAAUAUAAGGCUUUGUUUAGUUCCAUUUUUUUGUGCAAAAUAAACACUGUAACACUUUCGUUUGUAUUUGACAAAUAUUGUUUAAUCAUGGACUAACUAGAACCAAAAAAAUAAUCUCGCAAAUUACAGGUGAACUGUAUAAUUAGUUUUUAUUUUCAUCUAUAAUUAAUGUUCUAUACAUUCAUCUAAAGAUUCGAUGUAGUGGAGAAUGUAAAAAAUUUUGUAAUUUUUUUGAACUAAACAAGACCUAAGAUUACACAUUACAACAUGGAUACCCACAAUACGUAUGUACACUCAUCUAUGAACAUAAUGUUAAUGAAUUACAAUUAUAUGUACGGAUUUUACAAUGUUCAGGUGAGAACAUGGCUAUACAAUGGCGAUGGCUUGAUGCUACAUGACGAUUAGUCCUUCCAUAUAUCUAAACAUUUGAUGUUAAGGCCUUGUUUAGUUCCAAAAUUUUUGGCAAAAUGAGCACUGUAGCAAUUUCGUUUGUAUUUGAUAAAUAUUGUCCAAUCAUGGACUAACUAGGCUCAAAAGAUUCGUCUCGUCAAUUUCGACCAAACUGUGCAAUUAGUUUUUAUUUUUAUCUAUAUUUAAUACUUCAUGCAUACAUCUAAAGAUUCGAUGUGACGGGAAAUCUGAAAAAUUUUGCAAAAUGUUUGGAGAACUAAACAAGGCCUAAGCACGAAACUAUUAUUAUUAUUAUUAUUAUUAUUAUUAUUAUUAUUAUUAUUAUUAUUAUUAUUAUUAAAUACAGUCGGGCUAUCCCCUCCGAAGGAAGCACGUCGCUGAUCUUCAGAAUUGCUGACUUUCAGCGUCCAUGUGACCGACCAUGAAAACGAUCAGAUAAUUUGUUUCAGGCCCGCCGUUCAAUGCAGUCGUUCCACUGCCAGACUGCCUGCCUAAACAUAGGAAGCUGCUUUGCCGAGCCGUGCACGCGGCCGCCGUUUCGGAAAAUCGCAGUAUUUGCGUUGUACUAGCGCCGCGCCGUCGCCGCACGGCCGCACUCCCCGCCCCGCACGGGAGGGCGCAGUACACCUCUCUCUCUCUCUCUCUCUCUCUCUCUCUCUGCCCCGCCGUGUACGCACACGCGGGUCACCGGGUGUACUACACCGUCUCUCCCCCUCUCGUCGCGUCGUACUGCACGACGCAGUCCCUAGCCUAUAUAGGCAGCCGCAGCAGCACAUCCCGUCCCGUCCCCGAUCGACGCGCGCAGCACAGCGCCGCCCCGCACGCCAGUCACCUCUCACGCAACCACACUGUGAGCACACAACACGCGCGCCAAGGCGGGGGACGGGCAUGGACAUGGGAGGAGGAGGAGGAGGGCACGGCGGCAUGGGCGGCAUGCCGAUGCCCAUGGCGCCGCCGCCGUCCCCGCCGGGCGGCGGCGGCAUGCGGAUGCGGAUGCGGUACACCCACAUGACCUUCUUCUGGGGCAAGGACUCGGAGAUCCUCUUCGCGGGGUGGCCCGGCGCGCGCGGCGGCAUGUACGCGCUGGCGCUCGUCGCCGUCUUCGCGCUCGCGUUCCUCCUCGAGUUCCUGGGCUCCCGCGGCCUGGACGCCGCCGCGCUCCUGCUCCCCAGAGCCGGGGACGGGAGGGACGGGCGGGGCGUGCGCGUGGCGGCGGGGGUUGCGCGCGCCGCGGUGCACGCGCUGCGCGUGGGCGUCGCGUACCUGCUCAUGCUGGCGCUCAUGUCCUUCAACGGCGGCGUGCUCCUCGUCGCCGUCGCGGGCCACGCCGCGGGGUUCCUCGCCUUCAGGGCCGGCCUGUUCGGCGACCGCCGGGCACAGGUGGAGGACGCCGGCAAGGAGCAGCUCGCGUGCUGCUAGGCUUGUCGCCGGCGCCCCGGCGGUGCCGAUGAUGAUCAGAUGGGUGGGUUUGUGUAAACGUUGCAUCGUUCGGACGUGUUGAAUGGAGUAAUUCAGUUCGUGUGUGCGGGCGUUCGAUUGACUGAAUGCAUAGUGCUGUUUGGUUGGAUUGAAUCAAGAUUCGUGGUGAUCGGCAUACAGUUGUAAACACUUGAAUCUGGAAGGUUAUAAUUUCGGUCAUAAGCUGUGAAAUUUCUUGCCUGUAUAUCUUUCUACCUUAUUAACACGCCAUACUCGAUAUAUCUUCUUACCUUAUUAACACGCCAUAUACUCGAUCGAUUUAUAGUGUGGUUGGCUGUAUACUCGUCAGACUCUUCAGUCAGUCCAUACCAUACCCGGUUUGUCUGCUUGUGCUCUGCACUGUGUACUGUUUACGAAGAAACUGGAGAUUAUGCAAAGUCUGGUCUCACUUCCGUUUGAGUUUUGACUAACCGGCCAUAGGCUGCCUGAAAAUGGCAACCGAGACGGUGUUGGCAGUUUCGGCUCCUUGUUUAUGUGCACCCAAUCGUCACCUUACUGGUUGGCCAUUCGAUUCAGAUGUUUUACGUGCUGAUGUUAUGUUGUGGAUCAAGCCAGGUAGCAACAACAAAAGCAUGCAUGAUGUUUCCAAACAGUGUGAUGACGCACACAAUGGAGGCUGCAAUAGCGAUGCACGCUACAGUGCUACACUACACAGCCAUCAUGGCUCAGCACCCCAAACAACCGUGUCCCUAAUUUCUACUAUAUUCAUGCCUUGUUUAGUUCACCUAAAAAACUAAAAACUUUUUAAAAUUUCAUGUUACAUCGAAUUUUAUGGCACAUGAAGCAUUAAAUAUAGAUAAAAACAAAAACUAAUUGUACAAUUUGUUUGUAAAUCGCGAGACGAAUCUUUUAAGCCUAAUUAUUCUAUGAUUAGACAAUAUUUAUCAAAUAAAAACAAAAGUACUAUAGUAUCAAAAUCUAAAAACUUAAGUCGAGGAAACCACUAUGACUCGAGGAAAAUAUAUGCCGGUCUACACUAUGACUCGAGGAACAAACAUUUGCUGAAACCACUAUGACUCGAGGAAAAUAUAUGCCGGUCUACACUAUCUCAAAGACUUCAUUCAUAGGUUGGAUCUGUAAAAUAUCCUUAUGUCCUUAGUUUCUCUUUCAACAAACUAUAAGCCUUCAGAAAACUUAAGUAUAUUGCAGUGAUGCUUUUGGAAUCACUUGCAAAACUGAAUGCGACUGUUGUGUCGGGACAAAAAAAAAAGAAUGUACCUGGUAAAAACCACAAUCAAAUCACGAUAAAAAGUCGUCUAAAUUCAUCAAAAAAAUCACAUAUAUAUAGAUGAUAUGAUGAUAUACAAUCUUGUAGAAUAUCUUGUCCAAACUUAAAUUCGUUUGUGAGAUAUAAAAAUAACAAUUUCUAACAAAUCGUGUGGACAGGUUUCUACCUUGAAAUUUGUUAUUUUUAUAUCUCACAAACGAAGUCGAGUUUAGACAAAAUAUUUUACAAGGUUAUGUAUCAUCAUAUCAUCUACAUGUAUGAUUUUUCAUGAAUUUAGACGACUUUUUUGUCAUGAUUUGCACAAGUUUUUAUAAAGAUUGUGGUUUCCACUGGAUACGUUCAAAAAAAUGCUUGUCACAAACUGAAAACUGGAGCACAUGGAGACGAAGAGGCACAUCAGGGUUCAUAGAUGAGCAGGUAUCUCACGUGGCUGAUGGCAACACUUAACCAACGACCCUUCACAGCAAAUGGAUGACUCACGAAACAAAAUUACUACGAUUCUUUCUUUUCUACCCGGGUUCCUUCUGCUCCGCAGCCUCUUCGAAUGCCUCUCCCGGGACAAGCAGAGGUCCCAACUGUUAGUUUAUUUUUUGAACCACUGUUAGAUUCAGAUUUUUUUUAACCAGGAAAACAGCUGAGCUCUCCACUGUUAGAUUUUAUUAAAACACAAAAACAACCACUGUACAAAACAAAAGGAAACACUCCUGCUAAGCCCAGAAAAAAAAACAAAAAACUAUACAAAGGAAUCAACCCAGGAGAGAAAAACAGGCCGCUUGUUUUCAGAAAUCCUAUAUGCUUGUAGUCGACCUUCAUCUUUGAGACAUCUUCUCCAUGAAGAGGAGGAUGGAGAUCCUCUGUUAAAAAUGAAGUUAUUGUGCUGCAUCCAAAUUUGCCAUGCAGAGAUAAUGAACACUUCCAUGACGAAAGGAUAUGGAAAAACUUUUUUUGGCUUGUAUUAUCAUUUGGAAGAAAUCUGACGUAAGAUCCACUGAAUGCCACGGAACUGCCAACAGAGCUGGCUGGAAGAACAAGUGAAGAAGAGGUGAAAUGCCAUUUCUUCAACAUUCAUCUUGCAUAGGACACAAUUGUAGUUGUUGCCUUCCAGCUUGAGCUUUUUUCUCCUAAUAAUGUUCCUCGUGUUGAGCCUGUCCAUCAUUAAGAGUGAGGAGAAAACUCUUUAGUUUGUUGCAACAUUUGGACUUCUAAGGGACUAUAGCACUUUCGUUUUUAUUUGACAAAUAUUAUCCAAUCAUGGACUAACUAGAUUCAAAAGACUCAUCUCGUGAUUUACAGGUAAUCUGUACAACUAGUUUUUGUUUUCGUUUAUAUUUAGUGCUCCAUGCAUAUGCCGCAAGAUUCGAUGUGAUCGGGAAUCUUGAAAAGUUUUGGUUUUUGGGGUGAACUAAACAAGGCCUAAAUCCACAGAAAGCAGAUAGAUUUCUCUUGCAUAUAGAAACACAAAGAUCAAGCAGAUGUCUUUUGCUAUUUCAAAAUUCAAAUAGUGAAAAACUGUGAAAUAUAAAAUAAAAGGAUUUGGUUCGAGAAAAGAAAAAAGCAAAAGGAUUGCAUUUUUUUUCAAGUAGCCAAUGGAGGGAAUCCAGAAAUGCAUCUACACAGCUCUACAUUGAACCAUUUCCGCCCCACUUAAACAUGUCUUACUGUCUGAAUCCAACAUAUGGCAAUUUAUUUUCCCUUCUUUUUUGAAAGAUACAUGGUAAAAUUUUCCAUAGUGAAUAUAUACAUAUGACAGAUGAUGCUUUUAUGUAUGAAUUCUUCAAUCACUCUGUGUAGCUUUCCUGUGAAGCUUACAUCAUAUUUAUGUCAUUAUUCCUAGUAGACAGGACUAAGGUAUUUCUUAAAAUAAAGGAAAAGGAGUCAAGCAAACUUUAUUAGUCUCAGUUAUUCUAGAAGUGUCAUCAUCUUCUUUUAAUUCAGGUGGAUCAUCAUUGCAAAUCUGCAAUGUUAUAUAGCUUACUUGUAAGGCAAAAACACUGACUUCAGAACAUACAAGGUGUCACAGUGAUAUAGAAGAUAAAAAAACCAACCAGUGAUGCCAGAGACUUUAGAUCCUCAAUAUCGAAGUUCCAUGCACUAACCCUUGUUGGUACUCACCCUGUCACAUAAACCAUCAAACUUUCAGAAAAAUAGUCACGUAUAUGGAUUGAAGGGCGAAGUAAAUAUUGCGUCUAUGCCUAUGAAAAUACAUAAUGGUGUGCUAACGAAACAAUACAGUAAGCAAAAUACAUCUUGUGAGUAAUCAUGGUAUUAUCUAAGCAACUAAACAUGAUGUUAGUUGAUUGUUUAUAUAUGAAAUGAAUAGUUGAUAGUCAUGUGAGCACCGUAUCCACAUACUGGAGUCACACAGAUCUUGGGGUGUUCAAGGGCUUAGCUUUUAGAAUCCAUCUUGGUUUGUGCUUUCAAAUUUCUGCAGCUCUGGAAAGGUACACGUUGUAGGGAAUAGAAGCUUCUCUCUAGAACAAAAGAGUUUGCAACUUCACAAGCUAAAUAGAUAUUUAAUACGAACCAUUGCUUCUGCUAAAACAUGUUUUAGCAGUCAUCUACUUUAGCACAAAGAGUUGCAUCAUAUGGCUUAUGAGCGAUCAUUUUAUAACAUCAAGUUUAUCCCUAAAAAACUAACAUCGUAUCAUAUGGGUUGUGAAAUGAGUCUGAUUUUGUAGCAUGGUUCCUAAUUACUCUCCCCUAGUCCUUGUUCAACCAAUAAACAUGAGGAAAUACUAGCAUACUCGGCCAUUGAUAUAAUACUAUCACAAUUUAAAUUUCUGUCUUUUAUAAAGCAACCAUUUUGCUCAUAUAUAUCCCUACCAUCUUUUAUGAAAUUUGUUUUGAAGCCACAUCUUUAACGUUAACAUGGUCCACAAAUAUGAAGGAUACAUCUAGCCUGCUUCAGGGGGGAAACAAGUUGAGUAGAGAAAAAUAGGCAAAGUACACUUUCACGAACCAUGAAAAGUGCUUCUUGUUUUGCAGCAGGCAUUCUCUUCAAAGCUAGCUGUGCUUCAUCCUUUAGCUGGAAAUACAAAGUCAUUAACUAAGAAAAACUAUCACAAGCAUUAUGUGAAACAGAAAUAAGAAAAAAAGUACAUAGAAAAAAAUGAAGUGUCUUUACACGAUCACAAAGAGGGGGCAAAUCAGUUAAAAUGCUUAACAGUUAGCUCCAGAGGUUGUGCAUUCUUGAAAAAAGAAUGCUUAAGUAAUUUUUGCUGCUGGCCUCUUUGUUUGAUCUUUAACCAAGCACAUUGCAACCAUUUCCUUGAAGGACUGAUUACAACUGAAAAAACUUUAAUUAGAAGAGCAACCACAAUAAUCUAACCUAAUGCCCAGUCUCUGUACAAAUAAUGACUGAAACGGCAUUCUAGAACAGAAAGAUUGUGAUAGAAAACUAUAAUCAGAAAGCAUUCACACUUGGAGGAGCAUUUUGGAGCGUCAUGAGAAGAACCUGUGCCACCAAGGAAAUCACCAGUUAACACUGAAUUCACACACGUGAUUAGGUGAACUCUACGGAAAUAGUUAUUGAGCCAGAAAGUUUUUAAAUUUGGAUAGCUAACUUCAUGGAUAAGACUAUCUGACGCCUAUAAUAGUUCUGCAAGCUGGUGGCAAUCAGCAAGUCUAAAUAAGUAUUCACAAAAUAAUGUAGAAUUUCUAGGAUUUCUCUCUUUCGCUAUCAUGUAAUGUGAGGAUUAAUGUGGAGGCUACAAAAAGAGUCUCUAAUUAGUAAUACUAGGAUUAGAUGGCAAAAUGAUUAAGCUACUUCAUGAAAUUUCAAAAUAAAAGAAAACUGAUGCAAUCAAUCAUCAAGCAUUCACGCUCCAUGGGAACUAUUAUUAGAUUGCUAUUCCAUAAGAGCAGGAAGGAAAAAAGAUUUAAAAUCUUAAUUUGCAAAGAGCAAAUGACCCAUUACCUUCAUAGCAGGGUACAUUGAAAAGGGAGCAUGUCCAUGUGCCAGCUUGAGUGCGGUUAUUACAAAUGACCAUAAAUCAGCUCUGUACAAAGAGUCGAUAGUUGUUAGAAGAUGUCAAUUACAAUAGCAACUAAGAAAAGUAAAAGUACACACAAAAAGCUACAGCGCGUUAAACAAACAUGAUCAUUAUUACACAAGUAAAACAUAAGCAAUAUUAUAAGUGAAAAAUGAUAUUAGGGAAGUUUUCCCAGAAACCUCAAACUGGAACCGACCAGAACCUGGUCACCACCUAGUUUCUGGGAAGAGUUCCAACUUGAUGAUGUGCUUAUUUAAAUACAACAAGUAAAUCUAACUUCCAACAUAGUAUUUGCUCUAUCUCAGGUUUAUUAAGCAAUGCAAAUUGUGAAGAAGAACUAAGCAUGCACGUGUAAAAAUAUAAGAUUGGUAUUGAUAUUCACCACAUACUUGAAAUCAUAUCCAGUUCCAGGCUGGAGAACUUCUGGAGCCAUCCUAAACACCAAGUAAAACAAGAAAAACAUGUCAAAUUAUGCAUAAACUAAUUAAUUUCUAUUGAACCACUAGCAAAAGAAAUGUAUAUAAAAGAAACAUAGUUACCAGCACGGUGUUCCAACAAAUGUACUCCUAGCCCUUUGCCUAUCACCCCUAUCAAAAAUGCAAGCAGAGACACCGAAGUCCCCAAGCUUGACUACACUGGGAUUACAAUAAGGAUAUUACCUGCAUGCAACAACGAUAUGUUGAGAAAAGCACUGCCAAAACUAAUCUCAAACAAAUCCUACAGAACUGACCUUCACAUCACGAUGAAUAUGCACUUGGCUAUGGGGGUAGUCUAGAGCUUUGAGUGUUUCAUUUAGAAUAGACGCAAUAACUGGAUCUUCAAAACCAUCAGAUAUGCAACCAUCAUUAGGUGCAAACGUGAACCUUCUGGCAUGAAUGGCAUUACCACCAAAAGAUUAUGACCCGCAACCGCAACAAAUGAGCAGUAAGAACUGAUGAACAUUAUGAUGAUCUAUCAAGCUCAAAGUUAGUCUCCUUUCUUACAUCAUCCUGCAUACAAUAUAUAUACUACCGUGAGAUGACAGUGUUCGUUUUACAAAGGAGCAUACAAUAUAGAUAUACUAUCGCCAGAAUCAGUAUAAUUUCUUGCAUGCCAUGAGAAUAAUUAGGCAUAUUUUUGUACAGAAGUAAAUAAACAGACUAAAUAAGUCAGCUUGCAUUAGCAACUCAGUACUGCGAGCAAACAUAUUCUAGCAGUAAACCAACAAUAGGAAGAUUAACUUAUCAACUUCUACCAACAAAAAAUUCAGUGUGCAGAACAUGGCAUUACCAUGUCUAAAUGCAAGGGAACUAAAGGGUGCGCACUUAAGGUUCUUAUUCUCAGUCCAUAGUGCUAACCAAAAGCUGAUGCAACAGUAGAGCAUAUGAGCAGAAAAGGCAGCGUAGAAUAUAUGGCUAACAAGAAAGGCAAACAAGGCAGAGUAGAAUACAUGUUUGCGAGAUGCAUAAGCCACCAAAGACAAGGCAGAAGCCCGUAUACUCUCCUGAGUUCUUCCUAUUCAUGUUUGACAAUAACUGUCACAAAAAGAAGUCAUGUCCGAUGGUACCUUGGUUACACAUCAUUCAGCAUUAGACACAGCCUCUUUCUGGCACCAGGGUGUAGUUAUUCCAUCAACAAAAGCAUUGUACGAACAGCCAUCUUGUUUCAAAACUUGUGAGGACAUUUCAGCAGGACUUUCUACCAUCUUAUCCAAUGAAUCCACCUCACAAAACCCUGAAAUUAGUGUAUUGUAGGAAACACUAUCAGGAACAAUGCCUAAGCUCACCAUCUCGUCAAAAAGCUUGGAAGCUUCUUCUUUGUUGCCAGAUUUGGAAUAGGCAAACAUCAGAGUGGUGUAGGUCAUCUUAUUUGGAGGUAUACCCCUGGAAUGCAUUUCCUUGAAGUACAUCACAGCUUCAUCAAUUUUUCCUAUUUUGCAAAAACCUUGAAUUAUAAUUGUGUAGCCAAUUACUCCAAGCUCAAUGUCCUUUACUAUACAUUGUGCAAAAACUGCCUUCACCUCUUCAACAAGACCAGCAUGACACAUCCAAUACAUAAGGCUAUUGUAAGUUACAGGUGUUGGUUGUAUGCCAUUAUACUUCAUAGUGUCAAGAAUACCAAUUGCAUCAGAAAUGUUACCAUUCCUACCAUAACCACCAAUAAGAGCAUUAUAGAUGACUGCAUUCGGUCUUAACCCAUUUUUCAUCAAUUCUGUCAAAUAUUCAUUCGCCUUGUGCAUAUCCUUUGCUUUGCAGUAACCGUCUAUUAUAGUGCCAUAUGUCACAAUAUCUGGUUUAAGGCCCUCACUUUUCAUCUGAUCCAGCAGGUGAAGGAUCUCUUCCACCUUACCCAAAUUACAGUAAGUGUGUAAGAAAAUAUUAAAAGUGAAAAGGUCAGGCUUAAACCCUCUUUUGAUCAUAUCAUCACGAAGUUGUAUUGCUUCAUCCAUUUUACUGGCUUUGCAGCAGCCUUGAAUCAUUAUAUUAUACGUGAUUCUAUCCAAUUCAACCCCGCUAUUCACCAUAGCCUUUAGAACCUUAGUAGCCUCUUUCAUGUUGUUACCUUGACAAAGCCCAUGAAUCAACGCAUUGGAUGUUGCAACAUUGACACCUAAACCUUUACCCAAUACUUGGAACCAAAUUUCAGCUGCUUCUUCGUGUUUCCCACUUUUGCAAAGCUCCUGGAUACAAGCUGUCAUCAGAGCAUCAUUUGGUUUCAGAAAUCUGGCAAGCAUUUCUCUUAUAAGCCUUAGCACCAAAUCCAGUCUUCCAGUUCCUCGAAGAUGCCAUGCAACCACACUAUUAAACAGGCUGCAAUGAACCAUCAUCCCAGCCAACAACAUCUCAUCCAAUAUCUUCUCAGCAUGUUCCAUUUCUCCUUCUUUGCACAGAGCCUUCGCAAUCAAGUUGUAAGUCACCACUGUCUGCUUUAUCCCCUUUGAGACCAUUUCAUCAAACAGCUUAAGCGCCUCUGAGCAAUGCCCUUUCCUACAAUGCCAACCAAUCAUCUCAUUGUAAAUAACCUCAUUAGGGGUGAUCCCAAAACCCUGCAUCUCCUGUAACACUGCACCAACCUCCCCAAACUGCUGGCCCCUUGCAAGACCACUGAUCAGGAUGCCAAACGUGACAAUGCUUGGUCUCACCCUGCCUUCAACCAUUCUCCCCUUCAACCGAAAGGCCUCCUCCACCCUCCCACUCUUGCACAGUGCAUCCAUUAGCACGUUGUAAGUGACAACCGUUGGUUGGAUCCCAGACCGCCGCAACUCCGCAAGCAUUGCAAAAGCAGCAUCAAUCUCUCCAGCCCUGCAGAGUGCCUUAAUCAUCGCCGUGUAUGUGUGCACAUCAGGAGCAACAGUCUUGCCAUCCCGCAUUUCUCCAAACACCUUGCGGGCCACGUCCAGUUGGCCACCACAACCUAGGGCUUCGACAAGGAUACUGCAUGUCUUGAUGGACGGCGAUGCACCACGUGCGGAAAGCUCGAGAAAGGCAUCGGCGGCACGGGACAGGGAUCCGGGGGCAGGCGAGUUGAGGCAGGCGCGGACGAGAAGGUCCGCUGUGGCAGUGCAGUGGGAGUCCGCGAUAGCCGCUGCGGCGACGGACAGAGGGUUGAAGCGGAGGAGGCGUGAGACGAGGCGGCGCGCGGACGGUAGCGAGGCGCGAUCGGCGACGAGCGAUUGGAGGAGGAGCGUAGAGACGCGGGGAGACAGGAGAUCCUCGGCGUGGCGGGAGGCGGAAGCGUGGGCGUCGGAGAGAAUAUGCUGGAGGAGGCGCUGGGCGGAGGAGGCCGGAAGGGGGGCCGGAAGGGACGAGAGGGCGGAUGCGAGGCCGCGGCCGCCAAGGCGGCGGAGCAGGAUGGCAAGGUCGCGCUUCGCAUCGGGGGAGGGCGCCACGGAGAGCGCGCUGGCAAGCUCCGCGGCAUCAGCGGCGGCGUCAGCGGCGGAUGAGAGGCGGCGGCGGAGGAGGGGAAGGAGCCGCGGUGGUUUCAUGGUGUAUGCGGGCGGUGGCCGCCGACGGCCUUGAGGACAAGACGAAGGUUGCGGCGGGAGAACGGACGGCGCGGAUUGGAUCGUGGACCGGUAGGCUAGGAGGGGGCCAGCAGGGCCCCGGGGAGGGGCGGAGGACUUCGUGAGGGCUUGGUGGCGAAUGUGUAGUUUUCUAGGUUUUUUUCAGGAAAAAGGAAAUGAUUCGAAUUAGCUACCGGUUUUUUUUUCUUGCAACUUCAAUUAGCAAGAGCCUGUUCAUUUGGCAUGAACCAAUCCUGGAUCCAUUCCUACCAGUAAUAUUUCACUAAGGCUCUGUUUAAUUUCUACCUAAAAACUUUUCGCUUCAUCAUAUCAAAUAUUUAAACAUUAAAUAUAAAUUAAAAACUAAUUAAUUCCAUAGUUUGCAUUAUUUGCGAGAUGAAUUUUUUAAGUUUAAUUAGUUCAUAAUUUGAUAUUAAUUGUUAUAGUUAUAAAUGUGCUAUCUAAUAUCUUUUAAAGCUAGUUCGUUUAGGGUGGUUCUAUGGAGGAAUAAAUUCUGAUCGAGAGCGGUGUAUAUAAAAUUAGAUAAGUCCCUAGAACAUUUGAUCAGCGGAAACGGUUUCUAAUUGGAUUUCACCAAACUGAACGAGCCCUUCCCGAUAUAUUGCAACAUAAAUCAUCAAUACAUAUAGCAAUCAAGUUCUCGGUACUUCUAGACGUUGGAAGCAUCCAAACAAGCUCCCAAUCUUUCUUUUUCUUUUUCUUUUGCAUCUCCCCACUCCCGUUGACCUUCCGUGCCAAAAAAAGAGCAUCAUGUUACCUUUAGAAUCAACAAAGGGUUUGUUUUGUUCUAGGGCUCGGGUUAGGGUUAAAAAUCAGUCUUGUUUUGUUCGUAUACCAACAAGCUAACCAAUCAACAAAGGGUUUGUUUUGUUCGUAGGGCGUGAAUGUACAUGUUUGUUGUGGACGUCAUUUACAUAACUAUGAGAACCUACAAACACACAUACGCAAAUGAGCGAAAAUGAGCGUGCGUGAAGUAAAAUCGAUGUCUUAUUCGUACAACUGGGCCAGAAAAAAUGACUUAUCCGUACAACUCGACUCAGAAAACGAGCGAAAGAUAAAGUAAGGCCUCCGUGAAGUAAAAUCGGAACCGUGCAUCAAUCCUCGAAAUGGACCACCGAACUGGGCCACAAAGUCCACGCGUUAUUUGGGCCUAGCCCAGCCUAGGCUAAUCUGCAUCUGCUCUCGCUGCAUGUCGUUCCUUGUCGUCGACUUGUCGUGCACAACAGCACAAGAACAAGAAAAGAUAUGGAAGUGGAAUAUCGCAGCUGGUCCCGUUUGUGAUGCCGUCUCAGCAGCAUUUUUUUAAGCUAGCAAACACAUUGACUAAAAAAAACUAAAAUAGUUUAGUUCCAUUAGUCACUCAAGAGUAGCUAAAAUAAUUUUAGUUAGCUAAAAUUUAGUUGGUGGAACCAAACAGGGCCUAAGCGCGUAGUUGGCCUUCUCGUCCUGCACUCCACGAUCCUUGACCACUUGCACCCUGUGCGGAGUCGAGCACGAAUGCACGAUGGAGACGAUCACGAGUGGCGUGAUGGCAGCGAACUCCGACACGAUCACCGCGCUCGUUCGCCCAGAGGCCGUACGUGGCUGAACGCCAGCAGCACGACGAAGGAGACGCCGACGAGCACCGACUGCUUCAGGGUCACCGAUACGGCGUUCUUUGCAUUGGCCCUGUCCACGUUCCCGGCCCCGACCUCAUUUCACACCCGGCUGCUGCGCGCAAUGGGACACAUCGACACGGCCGGUCACCACUCACCAUAUAUAAGCCCAAGGCAACACGAUUUGAUGAAGCUGACAAGUGACAAGCAAGCACACGAGACGUACGUGAUCAUGAAGCCGCGAUGGCCUCCGUGCAACUGCUGCACACAAUUAUCCGCCGAUCAGUUUGUAACGUGGCGAGACAGCCCUGUUCGGUUGAUCGUUUCUAUAGCCGAUGAUACUGUUAAUUUGUUCUAAGGCCUUUAGUUCACCCCGAAAUCCAAAAAGUUUUUAAAAUUCCUCGUCACAUCGAAUCUUGCGGCACAUACAUGAAACAUUAAAUAUAGAUGAAAACAAAAACUAAUUACACAGUUUGUCUGUAAAUCGCGAGACGAAUCUUUUGAUUCUAGUUAGUUUAAAAAAUCUGAAAUUUUUCCGAAACUAAACAAGGCCUAAGAGAAAAAUACUAUUCCAGCUUAAUUAAUUUAUCUUCGCUGUCGCCGAACGCCUCCUCCAAGGCUCCGACCGCAGCACGUAGGCGAGCUGCAUCAGGCAGGAGGCCCAGAACGCGGCCGAGAUGGCGGCGGACGCGCCGGCGAGCCCCAUGCCGAGCACGUUCGCCAGCGGGUGUGCCAGCGCGACGUGGAGCGCGAACGGCACCGCAGAGCAGCACGACGAGCGGCACGACGACGGACUGCGUCUGCAGGUACCGCCGCUGCAGGCACUGCAGGAAGGCGAACGCGAAGAGGCCGGGGACGCGACGAACGCCGCCGCGCUAGCUGCGGCCUGCGGGACACCUCGGGGUCCUGCCGCAGGAGCAGUGGCUCCGUGAAAAUCCACAGCACGGAGACGAGCGCGCACACCACCGCCGACAGGAUCAUCGCCGACUGCAGGUACAGGCCCAGCAUGCGGUACAUCCGGGGCGCCGUAGGCCUGCCCGCACAGCGUCUCCAGGCCGCCGCUGAGGCCCGUCUGAAACAGCCAUUCAUACUGUAGCAAAUUUUCGACUGUCAUAAUAGCCAAUAUCAAUUAAGUAUUUAUAAAUAAAAUUAGGAUAAAAAAACAAUUACGUCGGCUGUGUACCAUCGAUGGAUGGCACAGGCUUGGAACUGUGUUCCCUUAUUAAAAGAAUCACGUCUACUGUCAAGACAAGGUAACUGAUUUAUUUAUUUAUUUUAUUUUUUUUUUGCAGCGAAGAACUUGGGGCAGCUUGGCCUGUCACCGUUACGGCGUUACCAGUUAGGUGUUACCCUCACUGCGCCUGUCAUCUACUGUCAAGGCCAAAAACUUCAGUACGGUUAACGAAACCAAAUCGUUAAUUGCAGCUGAAAAUUGAGCAGGAGGGACCGGGAGGGAAUGGGGAUAUUUGUGCAGCCUGUGACGGUGGCCCAGGAGUUGCCAAGCGUGCAGCCGCCCAACAUCACGGACACCAGCGGGAUUCAAAAGAGAGGGAGAGCGUAGUGUUAAAGACUAUUGAAUUUUUGAAGUCCAUGCAAGUCUUGCAGCUAGCGAAGUCUUCCCUCGUUCACGUGAAAUAAAAUUAGGGGAUAUUUAGUUCGGUAAAGUUUUCAAGAUUUUCCGUCACAUCAAAUCUUGCAGCAUAUUCAUAAAGCAUUAAAUAUAGAUUAAAAAAUAAUUAAUUACAUAGUUCGUCUGUAAUUUAUAAGACGAAUCUUUUAAAUCCAUUAGUCUAUAAUUAGACAAUAAUUAUAGGGUGGCUGAUUUUGUGUGCGUGAGAAAGAAACAAAAAGAUAGGAAGGGGAAUGAGACGAGGAGACUGACGCGUGCCUAUAGGGUGGCAGUGAGACAAAGUAGAGAAAGAGCUCUCGCUCAUAAGUUGCAAUUUGGCUAGAUAUUGAACCAGGCCAACGGAUCCAUCAUGGAGCUCUGCAAACAGUGGGAUUCUAGAUCCAACUUAAAGGUCUACUAAACAGGUCCUUGCAAAUAUAGUGUUUCAAAUCUAGUUUUCCAAAUUUAAAACUCUACCAGAUAGGUCCUUACAGACACUGCUAGAGAACACACCUUUCGUCGAUGUGCCAAAUGAGCUUUAGUCCCGGUAAUUUUGGCGCCCGGGACAAAAGAAAUCUUUAGUCGCCAACGGCUCUGGUGUCAGGCGCUGUCGGAGAGGGACCUUUAGUCCCGGUUGGUGUUACCAACCGGGAGUAAAUACUUACCUUUAGCCCCGGUUUGUGACACUAACCGGGACUAAAGAUUUUGUCCCGGUCGUUGGCACUAACCGGGGCUAAAGGUAGGUAUUUACUCCCAGUUGGUAACACCAACUGGGACUAAACCCUCCCGCUAUAAAUUGAAUCUCCCUCCUCCCAUCUUCCUCUCCCUGCCCGAGCUCGAGGUGCUUUGUUCUUGCUUGUUCUUUCAUUGUUCUUGCUUGUUAGUGCUCUCAUCUCCCACGAUUGAUCCAUUUCAACGCUUCUACGUCGUCGUCGAUUUGUUUGAAAGGUUGCUGGCUUCAUCCUCCUAUGUUUCUCACCGCCAUAUGUAAUUUCAUAUUGGACAUAUGUCUAUUUUGAUUAAUUCAUGUUGCCAUCUGAGCAAUCAUCGUCUUCUCAUGUUUGAAUUUUUUUGAACGAUGCUAAGUGUGUGCCCGCUAAAAACUAGUAUACACAAAUCAUUACUACUAUGUAUACACGAAUCAUGUAAAGUUCUAUUAUAGAUAUUAUAGGAUAUUUUCUACUUUAAUAUGUUCAUGUUCUUAUUUUAAAAUAUUAAUAAUAUAAUUUUUGUUUUAAUUGUUAAAUAAAUUGUUUUUCACUUUAAAAAUUAUUGAAAUUAAUUUUCUUUACUGAUAAAAUUAUAGCUUUUAAUAGAAAAAUUACAAUUCUAUGAUAAUGCAGAUAAUGGCACGCCAUUGAAUGUACAAUGCUGAUCGCCGCUCCAACGAGUUCAUUGAGGGCGUGCGAGAAUUCCGCAGAGUGGCGGAGCAAAAUAAGCGGGAUGGUUUUAUGUGUUGCCCAUGUGCCGUUUGUAAGAAUUUGAAGGAAUUUUCAAACUCAAGAGAAAUUCACUUGCACUUGUUCACGAAUGGUUUCAUGCCAAACUAUAUUUGUUGGACCAAACACGGAGAGUCUGGGGUUAUGAUGGAAGAAGGUGAAGAAGAGCAAGCGUACCCUGACGAUAUUUUUGCUCAAUACUGCGACUUCGCAGUAGAGGACGAAGGUGAUGAAGACGAGGAUGCAGGAAACAGUAUCGUUGAUGAUGACGAUGCUCUUGGUGAUGUCAUUCGCGACGUACAGAGAGAUUGCGAAAGUGCAAAGGAGAAGGCUAAAUUUGACCAAAUGCUAGAGGAUCACAAUAAGCUACUCUACCUGUCGGCCGAAGAGGGACAGAAAAAGCUAGGAACGAUACUGGAGUUGUUACAGUGGAAGGCAGAGAAUGGUAUUUCUGACAAGGCAUUUGGAAAAUUACUGAAGAUCCAAAAAAAGAUGCUUCCGAAGCCUAAUGAGUUACCCACCACUACAUACGAAGCAAAAAAGAUCGUCUGCCCUUUGGGAUUACAAAUCGAGAAGAUACAUGCAUGCCCUAAUGACUGCAUCCUGUACCGUGGCGAGCACGAGAAAUUAGAUGAAUGCCCUGUUUGCCAUGCGUCACGGUACAAGAUCUUGCGAGAUGACCCUGGCGAUGUUGAGGAUGAAGAACGUCCGAGAAAGAGAAUCCCUGCCAAGGUUAUGUGGUAUGCUCCAAUAAUUCCACGCCUAAAACGUUUGUUCAGAAAUAAGGAGCAUGCAAAGUUGUUGCGAUGGCACAAAGAAGACCGUAAGGUGGACAACAUGUUGAGACACCCUGCAGAUGGUUCUCAGUGGAGAGGAAUUGAUAGAGAAUUCCCGGAAUUUGCAGAGGACGCAAGAAACCUAAGGUUCGCAUUGAGUACGGAUGGAUUUAAUCCUUUUGGGGACCAGAGCUCUAGUCAUAGCACUUGGCCUGUUACUCUAUGUAUCUACAACCUUCCUCCGUGGUUAUGCAUGAAGCGUAAGUUCAUUAUGAUGCCGGUGCUCAUCCAAGGUCCGAAGCAACCUGGCAAUGACAUCGAUGUUUACCUAAGGCCAUUGGUUGAGGAACUCCAGCUUCUAUGGAGCAAACCAGGUGUGCGUAUGUGGGAUGAGUACAAACAGGAAGCAUUCGACCUACGAGCAUUGUUGUUCGUGACAAUCAAUGAUUGGCCAGCUCUAAGCAAUCUUUCAGGACAGACAAACAAGGGAUAUAAUGCUUGCACCCAUUGCUUUGGUGACCUUCAAGCUAUCUAUUUGAAAAAAUGCCGAAAGGUCGUGUACCUUGGCCAUCGUCGAUUUCUUGCUAAGAACCACCAGUUGAGAAAGAAAGGCAAACAUUUUAAAGGUACGGCAGAACACCGGUCCAAGCCAGGCAACCGAGACGGGGCAGAGGUAUUCGAGAUGGUCAAAGAUUUGAAAGUAGUGUUUGGAAAGGGAGAAGGCAGCGAACCUGUUCCGAAAGACGCUUCGGGGCGUGCCCCAAUGUGGAAGAAAAAUUCAAUAUUUUGGGAGCUACCAUAUUGGAAACACCUUGAGGUCCGCCACUCCAUCGACGUGAUGCACCUGACCAAGAAUUUUUGUGUCAAUCUCCUAGGGUUUAUGGGUGUGUUUGGAAAGCCUAAGGAUACCCUUGAGGCUCGAGAGGACUUAAAGCGCAUGAAAGAACGAGACAACCUGCAUCUAGAGCAGACAGAUGAUGGACACCAGUAUUUAAGACCUGCUAGCUACACUCUUAGCAAUGAGGAGAAGGAAAUCAUGUUUGAGUGCCUAAGCAGCAUCAAGGUCCCAUCUGGGUUCUCCUCCAACAUAAAGCGUAUAAUAAAUGUGCCAGAGAAAAAAUUUGUCAACUUAAAAUCGCACGACUGCCAUGUGAUUAUGACACAACUGCUUCCGGUUGCCUUAAGAGGAAUUCUACCUCCACAUGUACGUUUGGCCACCGUGAAGUUGUGUGCAUUCCUCAAUGCAAUUUCUCAGAAGGCAAUCAAUCCUCUUGAUCUAGCUACUCUACUGAACGAUGUGGUUAAAUGUCUUGUCAGCUUUGAGUUGGUGUUUCCUCCAUCUUUCUUUGAUAUCAUGACACAUCUCCUAGUUCAUCUGGUCAAAGAGAUUCAUAUUCUGGGUCCUGUCUUCCUACACAACAUGUUUCCCUUAGAGAGAUUUAUGGGUGUACUGAAAAAAUAUGUUCACCAGCGGGGUCGGCCAGAAGGAAGCAUCAUCAAGGGAUACGAGACAGAGGAGGUCAUUGAGUUCUGUGUGGACUUUAUUCCUGAUCUUGACCCGAUUGGUCUUCCUGAAUCAAGGUAUGAGGGGAGACUCGAUGGAAAGGGUACACUAGGAAAGAAAACAUAUAUCAGCCAGGGUGAUGAUUUAUUCAAUAAAGCGCACUACACAGUCCUUCAAAACUCCAUUGUGGUGGAACCAUAUAUUGAGGAACACAUGGAUUUUGUACGAUCCGAGAAUCCUGGAAAGAAUGAGACUUGGGUUACGCAUCAUCACAUGGAAACAUUCGGUGACUGGUUGCGAAAAAAAUGCCAGGGUGAUAAAGAUAUUGGAGAUGAACUUUAUUUGUUGGCUAGGCAACCAGCGUGGCACGUCCUCACAUACAAAGGGUACGAGAUAAAUGGAAAUACAUUUUACACCGUAUCACAAGAUAAAAAGAGUACCAACCAAAACAGUGGUGUCCGUGUGGAUGCCACGGACACGAAUGGGGACAGGCACACAUAUUAUGGUCGUAUAGAGGAGAUUUGGGAACUAGACUAUGCACAUAAUUUUAAAGUCCCUUUAUUCCGAUGCCAAUGGGUGAAGAUGAAAGGAGGGGUAUCAGUCGAUAAGGAGUACGGAAUGACAACAGUGGACCUCAACAAUAUUGGAUAUACAAACGAUCCAUUCGUCCUCGGUACUAAGGUGAAUCAGGUGUUCUAUGUGAAAGACAUGUCUACAAAACCUAAGAGAGGGAAACAAGACGAGAAAAACACCAACGAGCCAAAGCGACACAUCGUUCUUACAGGGAAAAGAAACAUCGUGGGAAUUGAAGACAAGUCAGACGUGUCAGAGGAUUAUGAAAAGGAUGAACGGAUCCCACCCUUCUGUGUGGCCAAAGACCCAAGCAUCAUGCUCGCUGCAGAGGACACUCCAUGGUUACGGAAUGAUCAUAACCAAGGGCAUUAUGUUAAGAAAAAGUUUACCACUGUGCUAGCUUGAUAAUGGUAGUGAUUUGUACUUGAAAUCUUGUGUAAUAUAAUUGUAACAUUAUGUGUAAUAUAAUUGUAACAUCUUGAUGUGGAUUUUGAACUAUUGGUAUUCAUGAGUUUGGUCAAACUUGGUCAAUAUUGGUAUUCAUUAAAUGUAUAUAUGAAAUGUAGAUCUUGAUAAGUGGAGCAAUAUUGGUAUUCAUGAGUUUUCCAUUUGAGGCCAUCCAUGGUUCUGAAAAUUAGCGUUUCGCUAUGAAUUCUUUCAAAUUUCAAAAUUGAGUGGUCUAAACUUUUUCAAAUGAAAAUGUGACCACUAGAGAAAAUGUAGGUCUUGAUGAGUGGAACAAACUUUGUAUUCAUGAGUUUUCUAUUUGAGGCCAUCGAGGGCUCGGUCAAAGUGUGUGUUUGUGAAACCCACUAUUUUGACUUUGGUCAAACUUGGUCAAAUGACCCACCUGAGUACUUCAAAUGGAAAACUUUUGAAUGCCAAGUUGUUAGGUCUCAUCAAGACCUACAUUUCAUAUAUGGAUCAUAUUUUCAUCCGGAUAAAUUUGAUCGAGUCCGAGGCUCGUGUUUUCAAAUUCGAAGACGGGCUUUGGUCAAACGACGGAGAAAAUGACUUGGAAUGGAAAUCUUUUGAAUACCAAGUUGUUAGAGCUCAUCAAUAUCCAAACUUUUUAUAUAGACCAUUUUUUCAUUUGGAAAAGUUUAUGUAAACAAUACUCACCAAAUCUUGAAUCUCACACAAACUUUAUGAAACUAUACGUGGGAAGUGUGGAUUUUGAACUACACUUUGCCAACACUUUGUCAAAUGCAAAAAUGGUCUAUAUAUGAAAUGUAGAUCUUGAUGAGUGGAGCAAUAUUGGUAUUCAUGAGUUUUCCAUUUGAGGCCAUCCAUGGUUCUGAAAAUUAGCGUUUCGCUAUGAAUUCUUUCAAAUUUCAAAAUUGAGUGGUCUAAACUUUUUCAAAUGAAAAUGUGACCAUUAGAGAAAAUGUAGGUCUUGAUGAGUGGAACAAACUUUGUAUUCAUGAGUUUUCCAUUUGAGGCCAUUCAGGAUUCCAAAAUACAUCUUACAACUUUUGAAAAUUUAAAUUUCAAAUUUAUACAAUCAAUGUCGCGCAUUUGUAUAAUUAUUACUAAAGAAACAAAAGUUUAACGUCCAAAUGACCCAAAAACAAAGUAUCUGUCUAAAGCCAACAAUUUUUUAAAAUUUAAUUGGUCAUUAUAUUUUUGCAUUAACAAAAUAUUCAUUAUGAAUAACAUUUAUUUUGGGUAAUAUGAAAUAUUUAAAAAGCAAUUGUGUUAAGAAUUUUUAUACUCAAGAGUAGAGUAGAAUAAAAUUAAUGUGUAUUUUUUAAAAAUUUUAUCAGAUUUAUUUAAUUUAUAAUACAUUUAACAAUUAAAGGUAGUCCCGGGCGGUGGCACGGCCCGGGACUAAAGGUGCCCUGCCCUAUAAAGGGCAGAGCCCUUCUUCCUCCUCCUCCACCAAGCCCUAACCGCCACCGCGUCUCCUCGUCUUCGAUCUUCUCGCAGAGCACCGCCGCGUCUCCUCGUGUUCGCCCCGCCGUACGUCGCGCUGCCAUCGUCCUCCGGCCCCGCGCUCCUCCCCCGCCACGGCGCGACGUCCCCGCGCGCGCGCCGCCUAGACGCCACGCGCGCGCCGCCUAGUAGCCGCGCCGCCGUUUAAUUUCCCGACCGCCGCGCCGGCGGCCCCGCACGCGGCCCGUGCCGUUUGCCCGACCGACGCGGCUGGCGCCAGCCUGCAAACCGCGCGUGGUGGCGCGGCCGGCCCCGUUGCCGGCGGCCACCGGCCUUGUUUUGUUCCAAAUUUUUUUGGAAAAUCGACACUAUAGCAUUUUCGUUGGUAUUUGACAAAUAUUGUCUAAUCAUGGACUAACUAGGCUCAAAAGAUUCAUGUCGUCAAUUCCGACCAAACUAUGUAAUUAGUUUUUAUUUUCGUUUAUAUUUAAUACUUCAUGCAUGCGUCUAAAGAUUCGAUGUGACGGAGAAUCUGGAAUAUUUUGCAAAAUUUUUUGGUAACUAAACCAGGCCCUGGAGAAAGAAAAAAAAUGAAAAAACAUAUGAAAAAACAUAGAAAGAAAAAAUUCAUAAUGUAUAUGUAUAUUAGGCCCUGUUUAGUUCCUCACCCAAAAAUAAGACACAGAAAGAACCCUAGUACUCGCCGUUGUAACCUUUGCAGCGCUGUUGUCGUCGCCAUCGUGGAGCACCGCCGUGGAACACACACACAUGUACACACACUUGAUCAUCCAGGGCCGAUGCGCGCAUACGCGCGCGCGCGCACACACACACACCGGAUCGAUGUCUCUCUGCCGUCUAUCUCUCUCUCACACACAUACAUAUGUAAAUGUGAUAUAAUAUUUGUUCCCUCUUUCUUCUUCCAGAUCGAAGUCUCUCUACCAUCGUCACCGAAGUCCCCGUCGAGUCUCCGCACCGACCGCCUUCUCUCCACCGUCUCACCGCCUUCAAACUACAGGUAUGUCGAGAUGGAUCUAUUAGUGGUACAAUUAGUGCUAUAAUUAGUGAUACAAUUAGUGGUAUAAAUUAGUGGUAUAAUUAUGAUAUAUUUAAUUAUUAGCAAAUGAUAUACACUAAACCCUAAACCUAAGCCCUAAACCCUAAACCCUAAACCCUAACCCCUGAACCCUAACCCCUAACCCCUAAACCCUAAGCCCUAAACACAUAUACUCUCUCUCUCUCACUUAUUUGUGACCGGUUCAGAUCAUGCCACUUUUGUUAGCAAAUGAUGUAAACCCUAAGCCAUAAACCCUAAACCUUGAAACCUAAGCCGUAAACCCCAAACCCUUAGCCGUAAACUGUUGCAGAAAAUCCUAAGUUGUAAACCCUAAUUUUAUAUAUUGUUUCCUUGUCAGGUAUACACAGUAGUGCUAGUAGUCAUGUGUCACCAAUUUCUUAUAAAUCUAGAAUAUUGCCUCUGCUCAAAUUCAUAUAUAAUUAAUUAUUUUCAUGUAUAUUAUAGUACCAAUUUCUUAUUUAUUUUCACGUAAUAUAUAUACGGUGUUCUUUAAUGUAAUUAGUGAUGUUCUAUGGUGUAUUUAGUUUUUUUCAAGUAAUAUAUAUUUGAUGUAUUUAGUGAUGUUCUAUAGUGUUCUGUGAUGUAUUUAGUGAUGUUCUAAGCCCUAAGCCCUAAACCCUAGUUUUAUAUAUUGUUUCCUUGUCAAGUAUACACAGUAGUGCUAGUAGUGAUGUGUCACAUAUUUCUGUAGAAAUGGCCAAUCCGAGAGAACACGAAGAGGAAAUGAUGAACCUGAUCUGCGGUCCCACUGAAGAAGUUUAUCACGAUGAUCGCGAAGGCGAUGAAAACCCUGAGGGAAUCGAUGACUGCUCUCAGUAUUUGGUCGACCCGAAUGAGCAAGACAAUGCUGGCCAGCAGGUCUGUAAUAUGGCAGUCUCCUUUGUUUUUACCGAUAUAAUUCGAAAUAAUAUCUUGUAUUAAAUUGUCUUUUUUCUUUCUACAUAGCCCUCUGGCUCGACGACAACCACGGGGACCAGCCGGAGAGUACGAGGCCCAAAGAAGCCUAUGGAGGGCCGGUUAGUAAUCUCAGAAUUCGAGGAAGCAACAGGCAAGCCACUUGGACCCCAUUCAAGGGCCUUCGUGAACCACUUAGGGUACCUUGUCCGGGAUAGGAUCCCAAUCAGUGUCCGUGAAUGGAAGGAGAACAAGAAACACCCAGAAAUCAGUUAUGUCUCUAUACGUGACAAGGAGCUACUCUGGGGUGAUGUCUUGCAACAUUUUACACUGGAGACAAACGAUGAACAGUUAAAGGAAAGAGUCCGAGACUGGUCUAUGAAGAAGAUGGCACCAAUGCUCCAGGGCUAUAAGAAGCGUCUAUAUCAAGACUACAUCAAGAAAAACAUGACUCCAGAUUUCAACUCUCCGAACUAUGCGAAGCUACGGCCGUUUUGGGACGACUUUGUACGGUUCAAGAUGUCCGAAGAGGCUCAGGAACGGGUCAGAAAGAACCAAGAGAAUGCCCGACGCAAGACCUACCACCACACGAUGGGAUCAGGUGGCUACCAAACCGCAGUUCCUAAGUGGGAAAAGGCCGAAAAAGAGUUAAUCGACAGGGGGUUGGUGCCCGAAUCCCUCGAGUGGCCUGAGCGCGCGAAGCACUGGUUUUUCGCUCACGGAGGCUCACAGGACCUUGAGACCGGAAAGGUCGUGUAUGGGGAACGCAUCCAAGCUGUUGCGGAAAGAUUCCAUCAAGCCCGCUCCAUCGCUGAAAGUGGAGAAUGGCAGCCGAAUAGAGAUAAAGAUGAAUUGACAUUCGCCCUGGGGAACCCUGAGCACGGUGGACGGACGAGAGGCUAUGGCACCGUGUCAUGGGAACAUGCCUUCCCUGGUGAUAGGGAAACUUAUAGAAGCCGCCAGAGAAAGAAGGAAGAGGACAGGGAACAGAUACGCAGAUUGGAGGAAGGACUCAUAAAGACCCAAGAAGUGGCUCAACGGGCCCUUGAGCGGGAGCAAGCGCUGAAGGCCACAAUGGAUGAGAAAAUCCAAAAGGUCGUGGAGGUAGCUGUAACUUCCCGCCUCCAAAGCUUAUCACAGCCACCGGCCGCCAACAUCAGCCCUUGCUCAGCUCAUCUAAAGAGCAGUUGUGCUUCUACGGAGGCGCAUGCGAGGCAAGUUGAUGACGUAGGGCUGUGAUUCCCGGUGGAUGACGUCACCGCUCCGUUGACGUCUUGUGAGCUCCAUAUUCCGGAGGGCGAUGGCACAGUAAAGGUGGCUACCGGUGUCGUAUCUCCUAUCGACCCCACCAAGACACCAACAAUCCACUCUGUCCCAAUACCAGCCGGAUAUGCUUGUGUCUCGGUGGAUAGAGUGGUCAGAGGCCGUGAAAAUGUGCCUCUCGAUAUCGAAGGCGGUAAUGGAGAGAAGACACUUGGUGAAGCGGAGAAGACAUUCAUAUGUUGGAGGAAACGGUACGUCAUUAUUCCUGGGGUGCCGCCGCCACAACCGAACCCUAGCAGGUGCGGAUUAUUGUGGACGCUACUGCUUUUUCUAUAAUUAUAUAUUGUAUCAAAUUACAUUUAGUCAUGUAUACAUAUACCUUAUUUGUUUUCUUCAAAUCCAGGGCCUCCCCCCACCGAAGUCCGUCUGUCCAUUCACCGCAUGACCAUAGUGCCGUGGGACACGACGACGACGACGUACAAGAGAAGGCCGCAUCCCCACCACCGGCCGUCGCAUCUCCUCCACGAAGGAAUCCAACGCUGCCCGCGGUCGAAUCUCCUCCACAACAACAAGCUCCACCUGCGCCACUGCCUCCGCCAAUGCCGACGACAACGGCCGCUGCCUCAUCGGCACCGGCUGGUGCUGCAUCGAGGAGGAAGAGGUCGUCCGCCGAGACACAGAGAUCACUCCAACCACCUGCGGCAAAGAGGAAAGCUUUGAACACGAAGAUCCCGAAGACGACCAAGCUUCCAUAUGAGAAGACCGAUGAGGAAGUGCUUGCUGCAAGCAAAGCGGAAGUCAAAGCAUUCUUUGAAAAAUGCAAAGCUAACAGAAAAGCAGAGCAAGAGCCGCCAUACCUAAUGUAUCCUCGUUCAAAGCUACGUCAAGUGGUGCAGAAAAUGACAAACGCGAACCGUGCUGCGAGUAAACAACCAGGGUCAACAAUAUCAGACUACGACCGUACUGUCCUAAAGAAAAUCAAGGCAGACAAAAGAAAAGUCCAGCAAAAAGUUGCACAGCUCGGCGAACAAGCGCAACAAUCAGUUCAGCCACUAGUGGUUACGAAUGAGUACGGUUCAAAUGCCAACAUGCUGGCAAUGACUAUACCUGCUAAUGUGGACUUAGAUGAGCUCGGGAAUUGGAUGGAAGAAACUGGGCUGCCCCUAGAAGCACUUCUAGGGCGUACCGAUGCGCCAAUCCACGGAGGUGUCGAUGAAUAUCAGAGUCGGUACAUUUACGACAGGAGUAUGUGCCACCCUGAGAAGGUACGAGGACUUGGUACGCAAAUAUACAAGUUGCAUGAGUACUACUUGAGAGUCAGCUCAAAACAUAUACAAGAAGAAUUGAUUGCCGUCCGAGUCCGCGAUCGACACUACUUCCGUGGAGAUGACGUCAUAUGGAUAGAUUUUAGUGAAGUACACCAACUUCUCCAUAUGAAUGCUCUUGACAAAUCUCUCAUGAGCUGCUACUGUCUGUAAGUGAUUCUUCCUUUCAAUCAUUAAUCCCAUUAUAGCAUAUGUAUGUAUUCGUAAUAACUACGCUCACGAUGUGCAGACACAUGAUGAGAGAACAAAGAUUGAAAAAAGACAAUCGAAUUGGUUUCAUCGAUCCAUAUGUCGUGUACAAGGACACUAAAACUAAAGAUCCAUUGAAUCUGAAGCCUAAGGAAAUGGAGAAGAACCUCCGGAGGUUCUUUUAUAACCAAAGGCAUACGGAGAAGAUACUCUUCCCUUACAAUAUGGGGUAAGUGUUGUGUUAUAUCAUGUCUUAGUUAAUCUGGCAUUAAGAUAUACAUAUAUAAGUUGACUCUAAACUAAUGCAGAGAUCAUUGGAUACUCAUUGAGAUUAAGAUCACGGAACAAAGAAUACAUGUGUGGGACUCAAUGAAAAAAGACCUGGCACUCUAUCAAGACAUAAUAGACAUGAUCCAGAGGUAAGUAUAUAUCAUACUUUAAAUAUCGAUGCGUGCUCCUUUACUUUAUUAUGCUAGCUAUACCUAAUCAACGAGCGUCUUAUUGGGCAGGGCUUGGGCUUGGCUACAACAAAAAUAUCGUACGGAUCUGAAUGUGUCACUUCCUCCUCCUGUUCUACUCCCUUGGGUGCCCACGCAGCCGUUUGGAACGAAUCUAUGUGGAUACUAUGUUUGUGAAUUUAUGCGGUGCACCCUAUUUAAACCUGCUCAAAGUGUUCUAAAAGUAAGUAACAUGCAUGUGUAUACAGUAAAUUCAUAUCUUAUUUAUUUGUUGAAACUAAAUAGAUUUUAUGUAUAUUAAUAUCUUUUCUAACUAAUGCAAAUGGAAGGAGUGGGAUAUGAAAGAUAAAGUGUUCGAGUACACAUUACUCCUUGGAGUCCAGGAGACGAUCGCCGGAUUUAUCAACGAUCAUGUCAUUCCGGAAGACGGCGAGUUCCACUUAUACCCGCAGGGCUUCAAGCCCAUUCCAAACAAGGACGAACACUUGUAUGAGCUUUGAGUGGGCGGGCAAACAUUAUGUAAUCAUUAACCGGUGGCAGCACACUUGAUUAUUACUUGUAUAUAAUAUUAUUAUUGUAAAUGUAAUGUGUAUGUACGUAUGUGUAUAGCUAUAUAAUAUAUAUAGAUAUAUAUAUAUAUAUAUAUUAUACGGAUAAUAUAUAUGUAGUUUCAUACUUUAUUUGUGUGCAAUAAUAAUGACGCUCUCGUAUAGGUGCAAUGUAUACGGAUAAUUACGGCGUAUACGAUUAAAUUAGAGAACAUAUACAAUUGAAAACCAAAAUCAAUAAAGAAAUGAAAAGAAAAAAGAAAAAAAACAAAAACAAAAAACACCUUUAGUUCCGGUUGGUAAUACCAACCGGGACUAAAAGGGGUGGCCAGGGGUGGCGCCACGUCACUGCCUGGUGCCCCCUGUAGUCCCGGUUGGUGUUACCAACCGGGAUAAAAGGUCCCCAUUUAGUUCCGGGUCUGGGAGCCGGGACUAAAGGUGGGACUUUUAGUCCCGAUCCCUUAGUCCCGGCUCGCCGCACGGGAAUACAAGUGGUUUUCGACCGGGACUAAAGGCCUGUCCUAUAAUUCAAGCUCUCUAUCACUGCACAAACAUGAGGAUGAAUCAUUGAAGGUUUGACAAUAUUGACGCACAUCAUGCACGUCUAGUUCGUUUGCCUGAUAAAUCUUGAUGGAAAGUAUUGUUUGCUUAUUUAUUGUGAAAGUACUGUUUGCUCAUUUAUUAUGAGAGAAAAAUAUUGUUGAAUGACUAGUAGAUUCAGCUGAUAAGCUCAAAUGAACAGACUCCAUAUUCUACUUUUGUGAACUCUGUGACAACACAAGUAAUAUAACGCUCCUACUAUUAAUAAGCCCGCUUGCCGUGGUGUUAGAAAUGUUCGGUUCUAGUGUCAUGUCGUUGUCAGAUUACAGCUAUCUCUAGCUUGUAGUAGACAACAAAGAUUCUGAUAGAGAAAGAAAUCGGAUAUAUGUCGAUCCAUAAACACCACAACCGCCAUGACACAACUAAAAAAAAAGGCCAUGUCACAAGAUUUAAUUCCGAGUUGGACGUCCGAGAAAUAUACACGGUUCGAUAUAUGGAGCGUUCAGAGCCUUGAUUAAUGCGCGGCAGCGAUGAACUUGUUGCAACCAGAGCAAUCUUUAUUUCCACCAUAUAUAUAGAUUCGUGCAUCCAUCAAAAUCCACGUAAAUCAACAAUGAACCACGCAAUAAGCUCGAGUGAGUAGAUUUGAUUACUGGUCUACUGGGCGCGGCGGUAUUAUCACUGUCCUUAUUUUCUCGAAACUUUGGCGGAUGGCAGUACGAAGUAGACACCUGCUGUGCUGUGAUAUUCAAUUCGAUGGGCAGCCAUCCGUGCACGUCGCGAGCUAGUCUCGCGGAAAUCAUCUCCAAACCACCCUGCCUGCUUGGUCAUGCAUGUGUCCAUGUCGCCAUACUAAAAUAGCAUCAGUGUACUACUAGUAAUCACAUAAAUCAUCAUCAUUGUGUUGAUUAGCAUGAGUGGAUCGUCCUUCGUGUGAUACGUACGUCUACUCUAGGUAGAUUAGAGCCUUCCAUUGUGCUUCCGAGUUCCGGCAGCACGUACGCGAAACCACCCGGUGGUGUAGCUCGCUUAAUUAAGAGCACGGCAAGAGAUUAAGGUAAAAGGACUCCCUCUAGCUAUUGUUCGUUUCUAAAAAAAAUCAAUGCUCCAACAGUCUACCAAACCUUUCAAUGAUAUAUAGUUUUGUAAUAACGAACAGACACAAGAUUAUAACUAUUUCAUUGAUAUACACCAGUUUUACAACCCCUUAAAAAGAAGUUGCUGCUUCAAUUUUAAUGAUAUUCAUAACAGUUUUCGAUGCAUUAAGAUAAAGAGAGUAUGACUUUUGAUUGCUUUUUAAGGUGUGUCUGUCCACCAUUCUUGAAGUACGGUGCUCGCAGGCUACUUUUCGAGCUAGUAAACUUUUAAUUUAGUGCACUCUAUUAUUCUGUGUUUCUCGCUAGCUAGAGUUACAGAGCCGCACUCACUCCCAAUUAGUUCUCUUUCAUGGCUGAGCACAAACUAUAGAAAUUAGAUUUGUUAUACCAUUCUUAAAUUUUCCGUUGUUGUGCCCCCUCCUUCCUCCUCUACCUAAUUUGGUGAGCUCCCGCAUGUUUUAUUUUAGUGUUACGGAUUUGAGGGAGGAGACAGACAUGUCUCUAAAGGACCUAGCUAGAAGAUGUUUGGAUUCAUCAGGUAACAGGAGUGGUGGUAGUUGAGACAUCUGGGCACGAGGAGCGGAGGGCACUGUCCAUCACGUGUGGCAUUGGAUAACUAUUUGGACCAUGAGGACUAGGGAGGACCACGGAUGAUCCCUUGACACUACUAGAAAACAGACUUUUGAUCCUAAUUUUUAGUCCCGUUUAAAAUUGAGCCCGGGACUAAUAGAGAUUUAGUUCCGGUUGGAACCAUCGACCAAGACUAGAAUCUCCUGUCCAACGGAUAGUGCAGCAGACUUUUGCAGUAGGGACCUUUAGUCCCGGUUGAUAACUCCAACUGUGACUAAAAACCACCCUUUAGUCCCGGUUGCUACCAAACCGGACUAAAGGUCCUCUAACUUUUAGUCCAUAUGUCACAUGUGGUGUGCAGUUGAGUUGGUAAGAAAGAUACGCGCGAGACAAGAGGUCUUGGGUUCGAAUCUCACACACACAAGAGAGAUGUCUGCAGGUUUUAAAUUGUCUUGGGUUCGAAUCUCACACACACAAGAGAGGUCUACAGGUUUUAAAUUAUUUUAAGUUUCCAAGAUAAGCUUUAAUCCCUUGGGAAAACCGGGACUAAAGGGUUUUUUUCAACCGGGAUUACAACCCAUCUAUCUACUCCACCAUCAUCAAUGAGUUGAGUUAGGGUAUGUUUAGUUUGAGCCGUGACUAAUUAGCCAAAUAAUCUUGUCCAUAUAGACAUCCAAAAUCAGAUGACUAGCAGGACUGCAGGAGCGUUGUGUGGCCCAAGCAGCUCUCUGGCUAGGAGUCAACUAAAUAUGCCUUCGGCUAGGAAUCAACUAAAUAUGCCUUCUAGUGUGGUAGUACGGGUGGAGUGUAAAUAUACAGGGAAGCGAGAUAACGACGACAUGGGCUCGCCUAGAUGGUGACGUGCAGAAAUUUAGAUAUAGAUUUGUGUUUAUUUAAGUGUGGUGUGUGGAUGUGGGUGUGUGUGGGCCUUGUUUGGAUGUAGUCGGAUUCACAUCAAUCCACAUGUGUUGAGGUGGAUUGGAGUGAAACUUGAACUAAAUUCCACCCCAAUCCACACCAAUACAUAUGGAUUGAAGUGAAUACGACAACAUCCAAACAAGGCCUAAGUGUGUGUGUGUGUGUUUAUUUAAGUGUGGUGUAGAUAGACCUAAAGAAAUACAAGCGACCGCACUAGGCACAUAAACCACUGAUUCAUAUGCACGGCAGCUCCAUGUGUGAUAUGGCGGACAGCCGGUAGCCCUGCACGUAUAUAUACUACUGUACACGGUUCUCCGUCCGUGUACAAACACUGAGAACGAAGCCCAAUACUCAAUGGAGAGAGUACAUGCGUGGUCAUGUGCCUAAGUUAAACUAGCCAUGCUUCUUCAUAAAUCGGCAGCUUGAGACGCAUAUACACACUGUCUGCCGAUCGAUCGAAUCACUCGUCCAUGUACACGAUUCUCAAGCCUCCGAUUGUAACCUGUCCCGUUACCGGAACCAGCGUGACGGUGACACUGUCGUCUCCUUCGGCUCCGAGGUCUUCCAGCAGCUCAUUUAGCGCCACCGUCAUCCUGGUCCGUAGCGCCGUUCCCUCCUUGCCGGGAUGCUUCAGGGUAACGAAGGACCCGGCCAUCUCCCUCCCUCCCGACGGGACCCUGUGGUAGUCCCUCGCGUUCACGUACACGUCGAACCUGACGAAGUCCCCGGCGUCCGCCUCGAUGCCCUCGACCACCAGCACCUCCUCCGCCGCCGCCUGCUUCUCCUGCGCUCUCGGACGACGCCGCCGCCGCACCUCCGCUGUCACUGCCGCGUCGAGGGCCACCGGGAAGCGAACGGACUCCUCCAGACGACCACCACCCUUGGCCUUGGGGUUGACGCCGGCCGUGGUCGGCGGCCGCGCGUGGAGCCACGGAAGGCCGACGCCGCCGUACGUGUAGCGGAGUUUCUCGGUGCGGAGCACGUCGCGGACGGUGAUGCGCACGAGGCGGGCCUCCUCGUCGUAGAGGAGGAAGGACGAGUCGAGCCAGUCAGGGUCAGUGAAGUCCUCGUGGGUCCGGUUGCCGGUGGCGAUGCGGCGCCAGCACUCCCAGAGGCGGUCGAUGUUGCCGUGGUGCGGGUAGAAGAGCGGGUCGCGGCCGGCGGAGUAGUAGACGCCCAUGUUCUCGGCGUUGGGGCGCGAGUUGUCGCCGGUCCAGGUGUGCAUCGAGUUGUGUGGCGCCAACUCCACCGUGCCCGCACCUGGCUUCGCUGCGUCGCCGGCGCGGUAGGGCUGCCCCAUGAAGAGGGAGGGCAACGCUGCGCCGCUAAUCAUCUGAAUGAAAAAGUUUUUAUAUAUUUACCACAUAUAAGUAAUAAGCCUCUAAAUUAGUGAAACUUUAUUUAAAGCAAAUAAGCCGGAGACUGAGAUUUUCCAGAGACGGGAAGAGAUAACACAAAGACGUACGGCAGAUGGAUCGAGCACCUGUUUAUACAUGACCCGAAGGUUGUGCAGGAUCUGCUGCUCGUCGGUCAAGUUCUUCUCCAGUCUAUAAGAGAAGUCCAGGUCAGCCACCUUGGGCGGCGCGUGGCUCGGCUCCCGUAUCGGGUCGUACAGCGGCGACGCCUCAUCGGUGAACACCUCAGGGAUACCCAUGCCCUCGGGGACGUCCCAGCUCCAGAUGGGCAGCGCGAACGCGGGGUCCCCCAGCAGCUUGGCCGCGAUGCGCUCGAAGAAGUAGAGGUAGGCGCGGUGGAAGGGGAAGAAGAGCCACGAGAAGUGGAUCUGUAUGCCCAGCUCCGGGUACCCCAACUGCCGGUGCGCGCCGGUGCAGUAGGCGCAGUGGAUGUUGGCCUGCUGGUAGAAGCUGCGAGGGUCCGACUGCGGCAGCGCCUUCAUCAGCGCCACGGCGCGCGCGUACUUGGCCAUGUACUCGGCGCCGACCACAUGCACCGGCCUGCGCGUCCGGAGCGGCUCAGCCGGGUCCGGGAACGUGAAGUUGAUGGGACCCGACGCGGACGACGUCGACGGCGGCGGCGGGCAGCACUGGAAGGGCGGGAGCGCGUGUGGUGGGAGCACGCCCUUGACGCACAGCUGGUCGGUGAUAAUGGGUCGUCGUGCUCCAGUAUUUCCACCGCCGCUGGUCCUAUUGGCGUCCUUGCCGUGCGACGAUGGAGCCUUGGAGGCGUCAGUGGUGCAGGGGAGGAGGUAUGCGUCGAGGCCGCUGGCGGCGAGGAUGCUUCUUGACAGCGAGUGUGCGCAUGGGUCCAUGACGAGAGGGAGCAAGGUGAUAGCAGCGGCGGCGAAGGCGCACAAAAGAAUGAUGCGGAGUGUGAGCAGACCACCAUUUCUACUACUACUGCCCGCCAUGGCGUUUGUGUUCUCGUUGCUACGACAGGCGCAGCUUGCACCGGCGUGAAGAACUACUCGUAGCUAACCAACUUAUUACCAAGUACUAGUAACCAAGUAUACAUAUAUAUAGGGAGGCCUGGGGCUGGGCGGGAGCCACGGAGGUAAAAGAAAGCGAAACGUAUUUAAAAAGUUUUUAUUUUAAAUCUCAGGAGCCUGCGCAUAUUGACAUUCGGCUGUGGCUGAACUGCUGCGCCACAGUUCCUCAGCUCACUGCCGCAGCAGCCGGGUAGUUCAGCCGAACGCGUCGCCAUCCUGAGGUGGAAACAAUGAGAUGGAAAUAAUGUAAAAGAGUUUUAUCGCUAUAAAACUUUUUUUAUUUUUAUAAAACUUUUAUUAUCUUUUUUCUUUAUUAAUACAUAAUGUCGAGUAAACUCUGAUGAACACUAUUAAGACUGGCCUAAUGUCGAGUUGUGGACCUAGGGGCUGCUAUAUGCAACACUAGCCGUCGAAUAAGGCAUUGUUUAGUUCCCAAAAAAUGUUAAGAUUUUCCAUCACAUAGAAUCUUGCGGCAUAUAUAUGGAGCAUUAAAUAUAGAUAAAAAAUAAGUAAUUGUAUAAUUUACUUAUAAUUUAUGAGACAAAUAUUUUGAACCUAAUUAGUCCAUGGUUGGACAAUAAUUACCAAAUACAAACGAAAGUGCUACAUUAACCAAAAAAUCAUAGAUUUUAGUAAACAAGGCCUUAUAGCCAUCCUCCCAUAUUAAUAACAUUUGUAUCUUUGAAUUAGAAAUUCAUAGAUUAAAGUAAUAAUAUUAAUUAUACACUAUAAAUAUUAAUAUAUAUAUUUGUUUAAAAUUGAUAAAAUAUUUAAUUUAUUAGAAGUGAGAAUAGUUAAAUAUACUAUAGGACAUUAAAUUAUUUCUAUAACUAAACAAAGUCCAAUAUUUUAAUAUGUGAUGUAUCACAUGUUCGUGUACGUGUAGAGGUGCGGAUAAAUGAGUAUUGUGGGCUUCUAUGUUUUAUUAUAUAAUUCUUAAUAAUAAAGCAGAAAAAUCUGUUUUAUGCAUAAAUUAUUUCUAUAGUUAAGUAAAACCAAAUAGUUUGGUAUAUGAUGUAACCGCAUAAACAUUCAUUUAUUAUUUUAUUUAUACACAAAUGCGCAUGCAUGUAGCUGUCCGGCCUAGUAAUGGCCAAAGAAAAAUCAUAAAUGCAUACAACGCAUAUGAACGUGAUGGCGGCACUAUGCUACGGCGAUUGCUCAGCCGUGAUGAUUGGCCUAAAAUUUAGGCACACAACAUUCUAUGGGUUUUCAAAGCUGCAUCAUACAGGCUUUGUUUAGUUCAACCUAGAACCUAAAACUUUUUAAGAUUUUCUAUUACAUUAAAUUUUGUGAGAAAAAUAUUAAAUAUAGAUAAAAAAAUAAGUAAUUACACAGUUUAUCUGUAAUUUACGAAGCGAAUUUUUUAAGUCUAGUUAGUCUAUGGACUAUGGUUGAAUAAUAAUUGUUAAAUAAAAACAAAAAUGCUACGAGAUCUAAAAAAUUUUCACCUCCUCUAAACAAGGUCAUAAUAUCUUAUUUAUACUACGUGAAAUCUGUAGUACAAGAUGUUUCCUGUCCAAAUCUAAGGCUUUAUACCUAAAAUUUAAAAACCUUUUAAGAUUUUCCAUCACAUUGAAUUUUGUGGAAUACGUAUAAAGCGUUAAAUAUAGAUAAAAAAAUAAAUAAUUAUAUAAUUUUUUUAUAAUUUGUGAGACAAAUCUUUUAAACCUAAUUAUUCUAUAAUUAAACCAUAAUUAUUAAAUACAAACGAAAGUGCUACGUUACACGAAUAUUUUUCACCUAGCAACUAAACAACGCCUAAUAAACCUUAGAUUGCUGUAGUGGCAAGCUACAACCUGCUCUUAAACGUCGCUGGUGACAGUGACACGAAUGCGAGGAACAAGUACUGCAUGAUGUGGGGGCCGCGUACGGCGUACCUGCGCGGCGGAGGACUCGUUGCAACCGAACGGGAGAUCACCGACGAGGAGCGGCCGCGGCGCUCCACGUACGGGCCACGGCACGGCAGUGCUCGAGCGCAAUGGGGAGCGUGGUGUCGUGGCCGUGAACGACCAUGGCGGUGGAGUCCCCGACGAGGCAGACGUCGAUGCCCGCGGAGUCGACGACGUGGACCGCCGAGGGGUAGUCGUAGGCGGUGACGACGACGGUGAUAGGCUCGCCGCGCGGUGAUGCUUCCCGCGGAGGGUGGUCACACCAUCACGCGUCGCGCGCGCCGCCGAGGACUCCUGCAGGCGUGUGGCCCCCCUAGACGGUGGACUCCGGCACGUUGCUCAGCAGCCGUGCCGCCGCCGCGCCACCUACCGUGCGAGGAGGGAGAGGGACCGCCGCAUCGUGUCUUGUUGCGAAGCGGCAGCGCGCGCAUGUGGGAGGGACGGCCGCUUCGACCACCAACGCAUCCUCGGCGCACUUCCGCUCGCUUUGUCUGGACUGUGGAGUGGUCGAGCCGUCAAGGGCUGAUUUGGUGUGACCGUGUGGGGAGUUGCCGAGUGGGAAUUGGGAAAGUCCAGAUGGGCCGUUGUGUGUGUUUUGGGCUGAGUUGUGGGCUGCUUUACGUCUGGAGUCGAAUAAGAGCUAGAAAAUGGCAGAAAAUAAUAAUUUGAGACCUUAGUAUCCUAUACAUGUAUAUCUCCUAUAUACGUCUAAAAAGAACAAAAACAAAAACAACAGACUUUUUUUUAAGGUCGGUCUCCUACGUAUAAAAAAACAAAAAAAAAGUAUGGAACUAUCACUAAUGCCGUCAAAUUGUUGAUAUCAGGUCCAUCGUCCUUGUCCACGCCCCUCUAUUGUACUGCUGCAGGCCAUGCUGUGAGGUCACAUUUGUUUCUCUUAUGGCUAAUUUCUCAUCAUGAAUAAAAUGAACUGAAUGAUGCAUGUUGCGUUGCUCGUGAGCUUCUUACGCAUGCGUAGUACUCUUCGGGAAAUUGAUGUAUCAACUGCGUGUAAAAUAUCAAAAGCUGAUGUAUUUUUUUUUAUAAUUUUGUCAUAAUCUCGAUGUCGAAGCCUAUUAUUCAUACCUGCAAUAAAGCCUGUCAUUUGAUCAAAUAUGUUCAGUUCAAACUCUCCAAAUAUGUUGGAGAGGAGAGAGAUAUAAAAAACGAUUUCUAUACAAAUUACUCUCCGAAUGAUAAUUUAGAGAGUAAGUUUUUUUUCUUAAGAAAACUCUUGAGGAUGCUAUUAGAAUUUCAGUAUGGAGUACUCUAUAUAUUUCAGGCAGUCAUUUCUUCUGCAUGCGCACGUUGCAAAGCGUUUAUUAUUUUGGCUUAAGCAUCUCGCCCCCCAACUAAUUAAAAAGGCACGCGCCUUCCAAGCGAAAGAGAAUUGAAAAAGGGCCACACUUUUUCUAUAUAAAAAGGCGGUUCUUUAUAAACGACCACUGCACGCCGAGGCCGAUCAGACUAAGACAAGUUAUAAGCCGCGCACACCACAAACCACUACCAAGUUAUGAGCACCGGUUUUUUUGUUUCAAUCAUCCGCUCGAUCGAUCGAUUCAUAGGUCGUCAUGGACAAAAAAUCCUGCCAGACAGAGACAGUGCCUCGUGCGUACGGCGUUCUUCGGUGCCUAACCCUCCCUGUACACCCCAUGAUCCGUUUGCUUCGAACGCGAUCGAGUGAACGCGCACGGACCCUUUUGCUGGAGAGCAACAACAUCAGAGCGAUAUCGAGCUGGGUGGCCAAACAGACUGACCGAUCGACCGCCGUCGAUCUCCCUCUCCUGUGCGCCGGCGGCGACCAGUCAAGCCGGAAAGGAACGGCACACACUGCACGCUGCCCGUGCCGUGCCGCUGCGUACGUGCACGUCCCAAUAAUUGUGGUGACUGGUGAUGCUGCCUGCUUGCUGGCCGGGUGCAGCAGGUGGUGGAGUGGUAGGUGCUUUGUUCGUGGGGGUGUUUAGCCGCUCAAAAGGUGUGGGAGAGCUUUGGCACAGCGCGUACUAUGGGCUUGUUUGGCACAGCUCAACUUCACUACUAAAGUUGUUUUUUUAGAAAAUAGCUUAAUGAGUGACUUUCUAGAUGAAGCUGAGCUGUUUUGGAAAAAGUGUUUGGCAAAAUAGCUUCACCAACUACUUCAUACAUAGUUGAGAGAGAGAAAUGAGGGAGAAGCUGCAAUAAGCUACUUUUUUUCAGCUUUAUCCAACUUAUGUAUUUGUGAGAGGAGGAGAAAAACAGCUUCACCCAUGAAGUUGUUUUGGAAAUAAGUGUUUGGCAAAAAAAACAGCUCAGGAAGCUGUUGUGAGCUGUAGCCGUAUAUAAUAACGCGAUAUGUUCAUGUGCCAGUUCAGCAAAGGAGAUCGCCGUAUCUUGCUGUGGGUAUCAUAUAAUCAUAUAUAUAUGUGCAACGUGACAGGGUUUCCAUGUACUAUUUGAUGCAGUAGGAACAAUAUAUAUGUCUGCAAAUAAUGGUAGCUACUGUAUGUAUAAUAGUAUUAUUUGUAAAGCCCCAAAGCAAAGUGCCAUAUGUGGAUAGUUAAGAUUACUAGUAGUAUAAUCCAAGGAGAAUUAUAGUAUAGUAGCAUGCAUGCAAGUGGUGCGGAGACUGGAAUGGAACCUUUAUUACCUGAGUCUGACGUAAAAGGUGCAGCGGAAGCGCAUGUGUUUGCCGUAUACCGCUACUCAAUUCUCAUCAUAAACUGCAGGGCAGAUAUCACUGUCGGCAACGCAAUCUGAUCCGCGCGCUAGCCAUUUUCUUCAUGCCAAGAUUCCUUUGGUCCACCAGCUGGCCUGGCCUGGUCUAAUCAGCACAACAGCCGGUCUACUGUACAAUGCUAUGCCUGAUGGUAUAGGAGUACCUGUAGUCCAGUACUAGACGCUGUCCUUGUCUCUGUAAUGCCAAUGCAAAUGCAACGUGUUUCACAGAACGCAAGAGACGUCUUGGUCGAAUGCCUCUGUAAUGCUUAUCUGCAUCCUUCUGUUUGUUCUCAACUACGUACCUGUUCGUGGAAACGAACCGCACCAAUGGACAGAAAACGUCUCCCCCUUAAUUAAUUGCAACUUGCGCCGGAGGGCCUGACGAUUACUGAUCGAGAGGCUGAUGGUUUCACUCCACUGCCGCACAACGCCUCCGAUCCGCCUAGCUCCAAGAUUCGUAAAAAUGAUGAUGAACACAAGACUGGGUUCACACAGAUUCGUAAAAAUGAUGAACACAAGAUUCGUAACCACUGGACGCUUUGUUCUGAACCUUCUCCGCCCGUUGAGCUUGCAUUUUAAUAUUUGGUAGAGUUUUACUAAAAAAAACUUAGCACUGCUAUAUCUGAUGGUAUAGUACCUGUAUUUUUUCUGGUCAGAGUACCUGUUUUUUAUCGGCCGAAGAGAGUACCUGUUUUUUUAUCGGAUGUCUCUUACCUGUGUUUUGUUAGAUGUCUCUGAAGAGAGUACCUGUUUUUUAUCGGAUGUCUCCGAAGAGAGUACCUGUUUUUUAUAAGAGUACCUGUACAUUGAUAAAAUUAGGUUAUAAUAAAAGCUCCAGGGGGAUCAUCUUAAAUUCUUUAAUCUACCGCUGGAGUGAAGGAGACUGGAGACUGCCUGAGUCUGACGUAAAAAAGGUGUGUCGAGAGCGCAUGUGUUUUCCGUAGUACUCGUCUACUCGAUGCUCAGCAUAAACUGCGGCGCAGAGAUAUGCCUGUCGGAAUUCCAAUCUGAUCCGCGGCUAGCCAUUUUCUUCACGCCAAGAUUCCUAAUUUGCCUCCAGUUUGCUCGGCCGGCCUGCUGGUCUAAUUAACUAAUCAGCACUACUGAUGGUCUGCACGCUGUUCCUCAAUUUUGUUGGGAUUAACCAACGCCUUAGUAUUGUGGAUAUCGUGAUUAUCGUCUCUAGUAGGCCGGAGUACAUGCUAAUGCAUGCAACGUCUUUCACAGAGAACGUCUCCUCCAUUUGCAACCUGCGGACGACGCCUCCGUCUUGCUGACCAGGAGCUCCAAGAUUCAUGUGUUUAGAAGAGAGCGCUUGAGGUCGAUUAAUAAAGUUACGCCAUGUUUAGAUCCAUUAGCUGCUAUUUUGCUAGCUAGGGUAUUUAGCUAAUAAUUAGCUAAUUAUAAACUAUAGGCUAGACCUGUUUAAAUUCAAAGCCUCUACACAGAACAGGAAGUUCAGAUUGUGGGUGUGGUGGGGGGUCGGGGCUCUAAAAAGAUUAUUUUAUACUCCCUCCAUAAUUAUAAAAAAAAUCAUUCAUCAGGACAGCCACACGAUCUUCAGCUCCUUGUUUUUAUAAUAAUAUUUAUAAAAAAGUGGUACUUCCUCUAUACUCAUAAAGGAAGUCGUUUAAGACAACGACAUGGUUUUCAAAGCCUAACUUUGAUACAUUUUUUUUAUAAAAAUAUUUAUUAAAAAGUCAUAUAUGUAUAUACUUUUAUGAAUGUAUUUUUUAAGACAAAUCUAUUCAUAUAGUUUUCACAUUUUCAAAUUCAAUAAUAUUCAUGAUUUAUAUUUCUAAUGUUUAACCCAAACCUGUCCAAAACGACUUUCUUUUAUGGGUAUUGAGGGAGUAUAUGUAUAUUUUUAUAAAGAUAUUUUUCAAGACAAAUGUAUUCAUGUGAUUUUUAUAUUUUCAAACUCAACAACUUAAAAAUUAUUCAUGAUUUAUACUCCCAAUGCUCGACUCAACUUUGUCCAAAAUGAUUUUUUUAUAGGUAAGGAGAGAGUAUCUAUUAUAUUAAUGGAAUACUAUCUGCUUACGCACGGUUGCUAAAAAGGGGUCGAAAGAUUGAAGCAUCAAUUCUGGUGUCAUCUUUUGAUGAUCGGAAGAGGUAAUUGAAAAAAAAAAUGACGAACAAGAGAUACUGAUGCUGAUUUCUAUGUUGGUUUGCUCUGUUACGGAGUCCUGUUGCUCUGCCAGGGCAGACUGCUACUAGUGACAGUACGUACUCCUGGUUGCUGUUAUCGACUGGGAGAGAGAAAAACCAAAAGUCGAGCAUGUAUUAUGCAUUGCCAGUUCUCUGGAGCAAAGCUCAUGUGCAAAGGAGAAGGAAACAGGCCGGAUCGCGGCUCUAUACACAGCAAAACCAAGAAGCGAUGGGACAGCCCCAUCCCAUAGGGCGGUCGAUCAGUAGGUAGGUCACCAAAUCUUGGCGUCGAUGACGUCGGCUCCAGCGUCGAUGCUGGCAUCGUCGCCCGCGAUCUGGUCGAGAACGAGCACGAUCCCCAUGGCGAACGCCGCGUCGAAGCCGGGGCUGACCCGCAGGACGAACACGUCGCGGCCCAUGACAACGCGCGCGCCCUCGUCCACCUUCCGCCUGAUCUCCGCCACCACCUUGGCCUUCUCGCCCUCGGCCCUGGGCGCCGCCACCACGCGGCAGCACCGGCGCGGGAAGGACCCGUCCACGCGGAGCAGCUCGGGGGCGGCGGCCCCGGCGGCCCGCGGCGGCGGGAGGAGCUCGAUGACGGCGCCGGCCGCGGCGCCGCCGAGGAUGGACGGGCGGCGGGCCGAGAAGAGCGCCUUCUGGCCGUCGGCGCGCGCGCCGAGGAAGCCCUCCCAUCGCUGGUGCAGGGACGGGCGCCGCCGCCGCACGGUGAGGAGCGGCUCCCCCGACGGGCCCAGCAGCGCGAGCUCGCCCGCCGACGCGGCGCCCCCGCCGUGGCCCCGCCCGUAGGUGUCGGCGCGGAAGGCGAGCCCGCCCGUGCGGGCGUCGUAGGCCGCGAAGCCGUCGCCGGGGGAGAAGUGCGAGGUCUUGCGCACCGUCAGGACGCGUUCCUCGGGGUCGCAGUACUCCGCGCCCACGAUCGGCAUCCCACUCUGCUCUGGCUGCUGCUGCUGCUGCCCGGUGGCCACGCACCUGAGCCUGAGCUUGACGCCGGGCGCGCUUGCUUGCUUGCUUCAGGGGUUGCUGCUGUGUGCUCUCUGCGUGGCGAAGCAGAGGCGCGGUGCUCGGAGAUUUUAAGUAGGGGCGAAGCGAGGGAUGGCGCGGUCGGUGGAGAUUUCAAGGCUGAGCGAGAGAUGAGGCAUUGUUUAGUUUUGAAAAGUGAAAAGUUUUCGGUCCUGUAGCACUUUCGUUUGUUUGUGAUUAUUCAAUCAUAGACUGACUAGGAUCAAAAGAUUUGUCUCGUGAUUUACAGCUAAACUGUGUAAUUAGUUUUUAUUUUUGUCUAUAUUUAAUAUUUCAUGCAUGUGCUACAAGAUUCGAUAUGACAGGAAAUUUUAAAAACUUUUUGGUUUUUAGCGUUAACUAAACAAGGCCUGAACAUGUUGAUGUCGCAACGCCUGCCCUUUUCGGACGCCUGGACUCGGUCCACAGGCAAGGCUGAACUAACAACUGGCAUGACUCUGUAACACUUUUAUUUGUAUUGGCUCAAAAGAUUUCGUCUUAUAAAUUAUAUAAGCAAAUUAUGUAAUUAGUUAUUUUAAUCUAUAUUUAAUGUCUUAUGCAUGUAUCGCAAGAUUUAAUGUAACAAGAAAUCUAAAUUUUUUUCAAGAUUAAAAAACUAAACAAGGCCUCAGAUACAAUCAUACAAUGCAGAUUUAACUCUAGUUAUUAUAGUUACUCUACGUAGCAAAGAAUUGAAUCCGAUUAAUUGUGGUUAGUGGAUUAAGCCUACUCUACGUAUCAUCAAAGGAUUGGGAACCGGGAAUCAUCAUGAUUUCCAUCGUGUGUGUGUGUGUACGGUUGACCCAGACUCACAGUUGUCACUGCACGUAUGAGGUUGGGCGCAUGCUAGAUUUAGGCCUUGUUUAGAUACACCCAAAAACCCAAAACUUUACAAGAUUCUCCGUCACAUCAAAUCUUAUGGCACAUGCAUAAAGUAUUAAAUAUAGAUAAAAAGAAUAACUAAUUGCACAGUUUAUUUGUAAAUCACGAGAUGAAUCUUUUAAGCCUAGUUACUUCAUAAUUAGACAAUGUUUGUCAAAUAAAAACGAAAAUGAUACAGUGUCAAAAUCCCAAAACUUUUUGCAUCUAAACAAGGCCUUAAGGUUGGUAUAUAUACUCCCUCGGCACUAAAGCAAAUUGCUCGAUUGUACAGUACUUAUUAACAUGGCUUAUCAGUUAUCAGUCAUGUAUAAUGUUUUUUUCUCAAUAAAUAAAUCAGCGAACAAUGCUUUUCAUAACAGGGCCAGUGUUGUUCUCGCUUCCCUAGAAUUCAAAAGCCUUUGAUUUUAACCAUAACUCAAAAAAAUAUAAAAUUUAAUAUCUAUAGUACAUAGUAUAAUUAGAUAGAUUGCUGAAUCUAUUUCAUAAUAAAUUUCAAAGUUAGAUUGCUGAAUCUAAUUGGUACGUCCUGUUUUCUUGCUCUUUUGUUCUUCUUCUUUAUAUUAUUAAUCAUCCAUUAUCUUCUAUAUAUUAAGAAUAAUUUUAUUAGGUUGGGAAAUUUACUUAGAGCAAAUUACGUAAAAAUUUGUACUAUAAGUUAUGUAUAUAUAUUAAAGACAUCAAACAACAAAAAAAAUAUGUAUAUCAGUUACAUUAUUCAUAAAUUUAUUAUAUUGAGUUUAAAUAUUCUCAAAAAUAAGGUUAUUUAAAAAAUAUGUUGACAAAUUGCUAUAACAACUUUCUCUUCUGACAAUUAUGCACAAGAAUUGAACUGCAAGGGUCAUGUAGAAAAUUGUCAUGUUAAUUUAUCUAUAAAAUCAUGUAAAACAUAUCUACAUUAAAAAAACUAAAAUAAAGGGUUGUGGUGACCAGUUUUAUCCCAUAAAAAUAUUAUACAUAGAAGUUAUGAGUACAUAGCUGUGUAACUUUUUAAAAAUAAAAAACUGGAAAGCAGUUUUGUAAAAGAAAAAAAACGGCAUGGAAGUUAUACGACCAUUUACUAAUUUUUAAUUUGUAAACGAAAUUCCUUGAUUAGUGGAGCCGGUAUGAUCGAGCUGGUCCAAGCGCGUGGCGCGAACACAGUGGGCUCAUCGACUCGAGCGAAGAUGCAGCUGCGGGCUGUUGGCAGUGUGAACAAUGAACACUCAAGAGACGUAUUAUACGACGUGUGGGACACUGAGAGUGGGACUGCGGGGUGGACCGGCCGACGGCCAACAGUUGGUUCAGUUUACUCCCCUCAGGUCUUGUUUGGAUGUUGUCGUAUUUACUUCAAUCCAUGUGUGUUGGUGUGGAUUGGAGUGGAAUUUAGUUCAAGUUCCACUCCAAUCCACCUCAACACAUGUGGAUUGAUGUGAAUACGACUACGUUCAAACAAGGCCUCAAGUGUGUCCGCGUUCUGCGGAUGGUGCCGUUCACGCGCGCGCGUGCUUCAAUUCGUCGUCGUCGUCAGGUCAGGGACAGAAGCGUCGGUCGGUGGCCGUCCGAUUCUCUUCUUUCCAAGGGUGGGUCGCAGCAAGUCGCCCAGCGACGGGAACGUGUGUCGUCGGGUGGAUUUGGGUGGACGGUCAGGCUGUUGUCCGCCUCGCGGAAACGAGUGGAUCUCAGCAAACACCCCCGGGCUCACGUUUUUGGACUUUUGGCUCGCCGUGCCGCGGUGCUGGCACCUAACGAUCGGAGUGACAGGCCCCUAGCGUGGAAAACAAUUGUCCUUUCUCUUAUUCUUCUUGCAAAUCUCAAAUUAAUUGAUCUUGUAAAUCAGCAUUAUUAACAUAGCAGCAAGUUGAGCGGAGGUCAGUAGUCUAGAAAGAGAGGCAUUAAUUUGUUCCUUGAUCGUGCUUCACAAUGUGCUAUUUUCCCCAUGUUUCAAACCUCUUUUUUUCGUUUGAGCCUCGACGCCACAUGCAGGAUGGAAUUGAAGCAUCGGAAAAUCAAGCAUCCAGGAAAGUCCAUGCAUUGAUGCCUGACUUUGGAGAAAAAACAUGGUCUCACUUGUACGUGACUUGAGAAGAUGAGACUUGUUACUAGACGAGUAAAUUAAUUGCUUCGGGCAUGUUGUUUUGAUGCAAUGCUUGCCAUUCCAGCUCUUUAUAAAAACGGAGCACCGGUGUUGACUCAAACAUCUGAGCAUCGGCACGCUGUGGCUAGUCUAAGGUAAGGUAAAGGUAAACCCAAAAGUUAGGGAGGGCAAUGCUUAAACUACUGGCAAUGGCAAUGGUAUGGUAUGGUAACUCAACCAGCACCACAAAUAAAUGAAUCACAGCUCUGGAAAAAUCGUUGCGUGCGCAUCUUGCCAAGUCACCAACCUCUGUAGUACGUCCACUGUUCUGGUGACGUGUUAAACACUUUCCACGUCGCUGACUCAGCAGCCGGCGCACGUCAAACACGUCGGCGUCAGGGAGGAUUAUAUGAUUGGAAAGAAGAAGCUUCUUCAUUCCCAGCGCCGCGGACCUGCACUGCAUGCAGCCCUAGAAAUAUCCUGUUCCCGUGGCAUGGGCGAUAAUCUAGUGAAGCGGCAGCAUGGACACAGGACACUUAGGCCUUAUUUAGAUCCAAAAACUUUUUAGAUUUUAACACUGUAGCACUUUCGUUUUUAUUUGACAAACAUUGUCUAAUCAUAGAGUAACUAGGUUUAAAAGAUUCGUAUCGUGAUUUACAGGUAAACUAUGCAAUUAGUUAUUUUUUUUAUCUAUAUUUAAUGUUCAUGCAAUUGCCGCAAGAUUCGAUGUGACGAGAAAUCUUGUAAAGUUUUGAGUUUUUGGGUGCAUCUAAACAAAAGCUUUCCAUUUGCUGGUUGAGCAGGCGGAGCAGCUGACAUCUUGACUUCUCGAGUCUCCCUCCGUGACAAAAAGUACUAAUUUGUUAUGAGAAAAAAAUACUGUUAACUAACUGAUACAUACAUUCAGUUAAUAACCUCAAAGGCAUGGUGCGUGCAGUGCUUCGUCCGUUCGUCGUCACGAAGAAAAAGUUGCCGCUUCGGUGGCCAGAUGGCAGCGAGCCACCACUCACCGUACCAUCGGUGGAAGGUGGAAACGUGUGGGCGGCGGUAGGGGUGGCUCGAGAGGUCGCCUCGACCGUGGAUGUGUAUGCGUCAAACAAACGCCGGGUUUGACGUUUUGGUUCACUGUACCGUGGCGCUGGCACCGACCCUGGUGAAACGUCUUUUGUUACAUACACGGGGAAAGAUCGAUGUUAACCUCGCAUAUAUGCCAAAGACUUGCUUGUCGCUGUGCCCUUACUUGUGCAAGCAACAGUGUCCCGCUUAUCGACUUGGAAGUGGUGCUUCUGUUACCAGCUAGCUAUAAGCUUAUCCGAUCAAGAGAUUAAUUACCCGAUCAAGAGUAAUACUAAUAGCAGGGGUUAACGAGAAAACAAGAACCAUGGUCCGUGGCGAGCUAAAAUUAGCCAGGGUUCGGUUCGGCUCACCUAACCUGUGCUCCCCGUCUCGGCGACACCAGCAUCACGCUAGGGACCCCAACUCGCGCAUGCCUGAAUCAGGUUGCCGGCCGGUUCACGUCAGUAGUCAGACGCGUUCACGGUCGUGACUCGUGACUUGCAGUUUCGGAAAUAUCCCGGCGCGAUGGUUGCCACCGCGUCCACGGAGUUUCUCUCUUUCAGGCAGGUCCGAUUCGGGGUGACGCGACGCGAGAGGCGGCGUCCGAACGCGAGUGCUCUGCUCUCCCCCGCUCGGCUGCGCGCGCCACGUUUGCUGCGAGGGAGUCAGGAGUGGAGAGGACAGUAGGACACGACACGAAGGCAGGUGCGCUGCUGAUCGUGGGCAAAUCCAUCGCCCGCCCUCGUGCUCCGGAAUUCACGGAGGCCGGCGGGGCGGGGACGCCGGGGAGCCGAGCUGGUACGGCAGAUACGGCCCGCGGCGGAGGGUGACGCGACGCGAGCGGCGGCGUCCGAACGCGAGUGCUCUCCCCCGCUCGGCUGCGCGCGCCACGGCGGGGCAGAGAAAACGGGUCGGCCGGGCUAAGGACCUACGGGGACGACGAACCCACUGAGGCUUUGUUUAGAUAAAAAAGUUUUUGUUUUUUUUGAUACUAUAGUAUUUUUUUAAUUUUAUUUGAUAAAUAUUAUAGGGUAACUAAAUCUAAAAAAUUCGUCUUGCGAUUUUAAAGCAAAUUGUAUAAUUAGUUUUUUAUUUUCAUCUAUAUUUAUUGCUUUAUGCAUGUGCCGUAAGAUUCGAUGUCACGAGAAAUCUUGAAUUUUUUUUAUUUUUAAGGUGAACUAAACAAGACCGCGGUUCGAUUUGGUUAAAAACAGUUUUUCAGCUAAGUAAAUAGGGUCUUAGCUUGGGGCCUUGUUUAGUUCCAAAAGAAUUUUGCAAAAAAAUUUAGAUUCUCCGUCACGUCGAAUCUUGCAACAUAUGCAUGAGACAUUAAAUAUAGAUAAAAACAAUAACUAAUUAUACAGUUUGCCUGUAAUUUACGAGACAAAUCUUUUAAACCUAAUUAGUUUAGAAUUAAAUAAUAUUUAUCAAAUACAAACGCAAGUGCUACCAUGCUUAUUUUGCUAAAAAAUUUGGAAUUAAACAAGGCCUGGAUGUGCUGGCCGAGUAAUAGCACAAGCGCAGCAGCUGGUAAAAAGUGAAGAUUAUGAUGGAUCAACAACAGUUGAUCAUCAACUACGAUAAAUGUAAAUCAAAAUCUUUUUUACAGAUUCUUUUCAGGGAAACCCACUGGCUCCACCAAUAGGCAAGGCUGCAGCGGUGUGAUGUUCAACGAGACCAACUGAUCCUUGCAGGGCAGUAUCUAGAGACAUCAGCCUUGCAUUUUUUUUGCUUCCAAUAGAUGGUUGUCAAAUAGGUCUAUUGGUCUUCUUUAGUAAAAAAAACUUUACUUUGUUCUUUUUUUAUGGAUCGCUGUAAGAUGUUUCUUUUACAGCUCGUGUGCUGGCUUACGGGCCGAACCUUGUAAUAAUUGACCUGAUUCUACCUAUUGGUAGAUUAAGCCGGGUAUGAACUAUCUUUUAUGUGAAAAAACUACUACUACAUACAGUACCACUGCUAGAUGACUCGACGCAGUUGUUGGAACUGUUGAGAUCGUGCAGCUGACUGCUGACGGAAAGCGCCUUGUGACUUGUGAGCCUACGUACAAAGUAAGGCCUUCGAAGAACAAAGAAAAGGCAUAUAGGAAGAACAAAGGAAAAAAAGCAUAUAGGAAGAACAAAGUUAAUAUAUGUACUUUGGGAUAAAAGAAAUCCUAUGAAAUUAAAUUAGUAUCGAAUGUACGAAACUAUAGGAAUUUUGGAGAGAAACUAGCGUGAGGUACUGAGGUUGAACUUAAUUGGAAACUUUCCUUAUGUCUCUCUCUCUUAGAAUUCCUGAGUUGCAUCCAAACACCGCAAUAGAAACUUUUCUGUAUUUUAUUUAAAUUCUUGUAGGAUUGCAUGCAACUAACCUUGUGGUUUUCCUAUUCAUGUGUUUGGAGUCUAUGUUCCAACGAGGGCCCUAAGGAAUGCUCGUACAUCAUAAAUCAAUUACAUUUUUGCUCUUGCCCCAACCAACAAAUGAAAAGUGGAAGAAUUCUGGGGGACUGAAAUCCUACUAUAGGUAAAUUGCUACGAACCCCUUGAAACAAAUUUGGUUCCUACAAAUCAUAUGUAACUCCUAUGAAAGUACUUGUUUCAUAUGAAUUUUAGAGAGAUAGUGAACCUCAUUGAAAUUUACUUUGCACUCUCAUUGAUUUCAUGUGUUUUAGGCCCCCUCCUUUGCAUUUGGGGAUUUUUGGAGGAAGCAUGGAGGAUUUCAUUUCAUAUAGAGUGAGCAGUGUUCAUGCUUUUAGAAUGGAGAAUUGAACCAUAGGAAAACUAAAGGAAAAGUACCUACCUAUUCUAUCAAUUUCAUAGAGAUCGUAGGGAAAGAAAACAUCUAGUCGGACCUCUUUUUUUUUCCUUUCCUUUGUGUAGGAUCGAGACAAAUGUGCCUCAUUGCUAAGGAUGAAGAGCUCUUAGCAGGCUACAAGUAACAUUUGAGAAGAUUAAUACAGUAUGACUAGUUAAUCCAUAACUAACUUUUCGACUCCUUUCCUAUGCUCUAUCUAAAAGGUUUUGCACAUGCAUUCCAAUGUGUUUCUCGAUCUUCUAUUCCUCACAUGCAUUCCUAAAAAAUCCUACGUUUUCUCAAUUCCUAUGUGUAAUCAUCUCUAUGUUUCAAAGGGGCCCUCAUUCUUACUUUUCUAUGUACAUGAUUAAAGAUGUUACGACAUUCUAUCCCUACAUUUGUAUUUUCUAUUCCUAUGUUCUUUACGACAUUCUAUCCCUACAUUUUUAUUUUUCUAUUCCUGAGUUUUUAGAAUCUUGGGUUCCAGAGAGUUCCCAUAGGUUAAAAAACGGACGAGAUCUAAACAAACGUGGUAAUGCUGCAUGCAAGAAAACUGACACAUGACUUUCGCUGCCACCCCAUCAUUUGAAUUUUGAAAGUGGCAAUACAGGGCGAUCUUUGUAUGAAAAAAAGGGUCUCUCAAUUAUACACGUGCUUCUUGCGAUUCGCUGUAUUGCACUGGACAAGUGUGGUGUUUGAAUAAUUGAGAAUCUGACAACCACCUCAACAUGAUAGGGUAGCAGAUCACAAGGACUAAUGACAACUAAUGCAACCACCACAGCAACACGUUCAGCACACCACUAGUUUCCCCAGCGAAUAAAAACUAAAGAUAAACAAAAACUCCUCUCGCUGGCGCAACUUUGCACGUAAUUCACUUUAUCCUAGAUCUAUUCUCCAUCCUGGAGAAAACUGCUCCACAACCGCCUUUCAGAUGAUCUUCAUUCUCCAGCAUGGGGUUCCUGACACCUGAUUGGGAAAAAAAGGCAGCAAGGUUAUCAAGUUGUCUGACUAAUCACAAUUAGUCAGGAUUAUCGGUGCUAUGGUGAUCAGUUAUGAACUAUGAUUAGUCAAGGUUAGUCAGGCUGAUCGGUGCCAUGGUGACUAGGGUCAAUUACGAUUUAAAAACAUUGCAAGGCAGCAAUCAGAAACACAUUUCUAUCUAGCACCCAUAUUGUGUACAGUUCCAAACAAUACUAUACCACCAAGCGACCUUGAUUGCAAAACAUACUCUUUUGCUUUUCAGAAUCUGCAGGCAUAUUUGGAUAAGUUGAUGCUAAGUAAUAUAAUAUAUGAGAAAUUGAGAAUGUUGUACAUCUACAGCGGGCACAAUUUUAGCAUGGCACUUAGUUAUAGAUAAAACAGAGAUGUUCCACAUGGA
RNAcentral lists this long non-coding RNA (61012 nucleotides) under Sorghum bicolor (sorghum). Its description in RNAcentral is "long non-coding RNA (SBIC_LNC005698)". The stretch from base 55065 to 55173 matches the Rfam family "MIR5565 microRNA precursor family". The record is from RNAcentral. Lineage: Eukaryota; Viridiplantae; Streptophyta; Magnoliopsida; Poales; Poaceae.